UCCAGGAGAGGGUCAAGAAUCAUCAUGUGAAUUUUCAUCCAAUUUGGAGCUAGCAUGACUAUUUUGUGAUUAAAAUGGUAAAACACAUCAAAAUAGCACAUAUGAUGAACAUCCCUAUACCAAUUAAAUUUUCUACCAGGCACAAUUUUAAUUUCUAUGUCUAAAAAAAAGUAGAUUAAAAAUGGAGACUAACAAAAAAAGACUGAAAUUAUUUGGAUUAAUAUUGAUGAUUUUAUGAUUUUUAGAAGUUUUGAAGAUUUAUUGAAAUAAUUAUUUAGGAUUUUAUAUGAAUUAAUUAAUUAAUUUGGACGAAUGGCAAAACAGUAAUUACUGGAUCCCAGUCCAAAACGCGGCGCAUAACUAAACCGAGGUGGCAGCCUUCUAUUGGCUCCGGCGCGCGAAAACACAAAUCCAAAUUGAAAACGGACGGAAGCGGAUCAAAGCGCAUUUUUUCCCAGAAAUUCUUGAUGUUCAUCACUGUUCUUGAGUUCUUCAAUUCCAGAUUAGGUUUUGAGCAAAUCUUAAUGAAAAUAAACAAUCCAUACAUCGUUGGAACCGGCAUUCCAUCAGGAUCAUGAAUACGGUGGUGAUUUCGUCCAGAAAUUCAUAUAUAAAGCGAAUCGAACGAAAGAAAUAAUGGUACACAAACUUCAAUCGAAGAUAACGUAAUCGAUACACAACGAUAUUACAAUCCACAACUUCCAGAGUACUCUACAAUGAUUAUUCUACAGAAUCCCUAACAAAAUCGAAGCAAUUAUGAGAUUCGAUUCCAACCUUUCUUGGAGUGCAGCGAUAGAUUCCGUGCGUGAUUCGCUUGAAAAGGUUGAAACAGGUGCGUAUUGCAGUAUGGAGAAGAUGAUGGAAUGCGUAUUGUAGCUCGAAGCAGCUCCGAUUCUUGGAAAUCGUCAACUGUUCUUCCUUGAUGCAAGUUUGGACAGUAUGAAUUGUGAAGGAUUCUUGAUCCAAUACCUGCAAACAGCACUUCCAAAACAAGUAUAUAUGAUGAAUUCACCAAGAGUUAGCAUGAAACUUGAAGAAAAAUUGGUGAAAGAUUGAAAAAAUGUCAAUAUGCAAUGUGAAAAAAGUGAGAGAAAAUGGGAGAAUUUCUUGAGAUUUUCUGUUGGAUUUGUGAAAAUGUGAUUACUGUCCUCAUUUCUGUUAGAGAUUAAGUAUAUAUACCAAGCUCUUAAUCCACCAAUAAAUCAUGAUUAGUGAAAAAGUGGUGAUUAGUGAAAAUUGGCUUAUGAUGCAUUUGGCUCUUAUGCCCUUGGAAUGGUUAGAAGCAUUGUAGCAGCAAUUUCUCACUUUGAACAAGUUGCAAAUAUCAUUUGGAAGCUAAUGGCAUAGGUCUCAUGUCCAAAUUCCUCAUACUUUGCAUUUUGGACCAUUUUGCCCCUCACUUUUAAUUGGUUCACUUCAAAAAUGAGCUUUUGCAUUGAGCAAUUUUGAAGAAAUCCAAUUAUGCACCAUGAAAGUACAUGUCAAAUGGAGUUUGUGCAUAUAAAGAACUUGCAAUUUGGACAAUCCAUGUGGAAGUUAUGCCCUCCUGAUUACGGGUCUUUUUUGAAAUUCACUGGACCAUAUCUUGACAACCAUACAUGGGAUUUUCAAGUUCUUGGACUUUUUGGAAUGGUGAGAACAAGAUCUUCAACUUUCAUGUUGGACAAAUUUUGAUUUGAAGCUUGUAUCAUGAAGUAAUCUUGAGGGGAAAAACUUUCCAUUUUGGGCAGCUGAAAUUACAAGUCAUUUCCAUUUUGGGAAACUUUUUGUCUGACUUCAAAUCCUUCAACCUUGAUCUUUGAAAUGCCAAAUGAGGCUUGUAUGGACAUGAAUGAGGCUUUCCAAACCAUCUCACACCUUUCAAAUCCUGAUUAAAUGCACAGUUGACCACAAUUGACUUUUCUUGACUGGGCCAUGUUCUGAUGAAUUCCAAGCCUCUUUCACAUGAGAUCUUGGUUCCAAAUGAUAUCACAAGCUAUAUGAACUCUUAGUGAAUGAUCAUGGUGUCCAAAUUCUUCAAGAAUUGGCCACCAUCCAGCUCAAUGGCUGAUUUUGACUGAUUUGACUGAUGAUUGCUUCACUGCAAGCAACAAGGUUAGAUGACAAUAUUUUUGUACACUUGGUUAGUAAACAUAUGAAAAGCAAUGAUAUACAAGUUUAAUACAUGCUUUGUUGUGAGCAAGAAUCACACUCACAAGAUAACCCACCCACUAGGAGGGCAGCUAGGGUAUGCAAUGAUCCUUGAGGCCAUGAUAUGAGAUGUUAUGGGCCAUGAGGGAUCUUAGGGCCAAAAUUGGGGUCUUACACGUACCCACCCCGUCUCUUUCAAUUUCACGUCCAUCAGGAUUCCCAAUGACGGAAUCUGGACCUCGACUGGUAGCACGACUUCCGUCCCAUACACAGCGAGAAAGGCGUUGCCCUAGUAGAUGUACGCAUCGAGGUUCUGUACCCAGGAUACACUCUUCGCACUCAGCCACAUUGUUGGUGCAUUCAAAUGUUAGCCGGGCAGCAAAAGGAACGUGGGAUCCCUUCUGCGUAACCAAAACAACACCAAUUCCGUUUCCAUUCACGUCAAUAGCCCCAUCAGACAUCAGAAUCCGUUCGGAUUCAAGGCGGGCCCCCCCUCUGGGAUUGGUUCCUCACAAUCUUUCGAUUUGAGAACCUCGAUGUCCUCAUCAGGGAAUUCAAACUUCAUCGGUUGAUAAUCCUCAAUGGGUUGCUGGGCGAAGUACUCAGACAAUACACUCCCAUUGGUUGCUUUCUGAGAGGUAUACUGGAUAUCAUAUUCAGUCCAAAAUCAUUUGCCAUCUCGCAACCCGUCCGGUCAAUGCUGGCUUCUCAAUGCUGGCUUCUCGAAUACGUACUUGAUCGGAUCCAUCUUGGAAAUCCAUAAAGUGGUAUGAACCAGCAUAUACUGUCUCAGUCGGCGAGCAGCCUAUGCCAAAGUACAACAAGUUUUCUCGAGCAGUGAAUAUAUUGUUUCACAGUCGGUAAACUUUUUGCUAAGGUAAAUUGCAUGCUCUUUUCGACCAGACUCGUCAUGCUGCCCCAGUACACACCUCAUAGACCCCUCGAGGGCCGUUCAGUACAAGAUUAACGGUUGUCCCUCCACAGGCAUUAGAAUCAGAGGUUCCUGCAAAUAUUCUUUUAUUUUUCCAAAUGCCGCCUGGCAAUCAUCAUUCCACCUGACCGUUUGAUCUCUUUUUUUUUUGAAUAUGGGUUCACACGUGGCUGUUAGAUGAGAUAUGAACCGUGAGAUGCAGUUCAAUCUACCUAAGAGACCACGAACCUCUUUUUCUGUUCUCGGUUCAGGCAUUUCUUGUAUAACUUUUACUUUCGCUUUUUUUUUUAGCAGGAUCAACCUCGAUUCCUCUUUCGCUCACAAUGAGCCCCAGCAACUUACCGGACCGCACUCUGAAAGUGCACUUAUUUGCAUUCAACCUCAGUCCGAAUUGUCUCAACUAGUCAAAAAACUUGGCCAGAUAUACCAAAUGCCCCCUUCUGUUUGGGACUUUGCUAUCAUGUCAUCAACAUAGCAUUCAAUUUCAUGAUGAAUCAUAUCAUGAAACAAAGUCACCAUAGCUCUUUGAUACGUGGCACCGGUGUUCUUGAGACCACAUGGCAUCACCUCUGCUCUUGACACUCGCCUCCAAGGCGGCCCCAACCUUUACUUCCUUUCAGACCUCGUCGGUACCCAGAUUCACAAUCUCGACUCGCUCCUCGUGCGGUCGAAUCACCUUCUCCUCUUGAUUCAACAACUUGGCUAAUUCCUCCGGCAGUUCACAAUCUUCUUCGCCUUCAUCUUCGGCAUGAUAGCUCGGAUUGUAGAAAUCAUAUAGGGGUGUAACAGGAUUGUUAUCAAUGAGAUCCGGAGAAUACGAAAGUCGGAACGAAGCCAAUCAAAAGAAAGGAAAAAUGAAAAUAAACAUUGCCAUUUUUAUUUUUUAAACUGCAAAAAUAAAUGAAAAACAGGGAACACCCCUUUUAAUUGUGAAAAAACAUCCAUUUAUUAAUGAUGAAAAAUGUUGCAAAAUGAAACACAUGAGGUGGCCCUUACAAUGGACCAUUACGUUUCGGGCAAAACGUAUGGCUUUCAUGCAAACAGAAUUGAAAAACAGAAAUAUUACUCUUCAUGAUGAGUGACAGUCGUUUCGGGCAAAACGUAUGGCUUUCAUGCAAACAGAAUUGAAAAACAGAAAUAUUACUCUUCAUGAUGAGUGACAGUGAUGAUCUUUGAGGCCUUCCAGUUCUCUGGUACGCACGAUUUUAUCCAACGAUCGAGCUCGCAGUCACUGUCAAUCUCUUCACCCUUCGCACAGGCGUGAUCUGGAUCUAGCAUUCUGGCACUGGUGAACGUGAAUGGUUGACGACGUCCUCUGUUUUGCCCAGACGAGUCUUGGCCUUCCUGAUAACCAACCCCGAACCUAUCUGCUUUCACCGCAAUGUGUACCAUUCUUCCCCAGCGUUGGGCUUCUCCGCUUCUCACCACCUUCAUGGCCUGUUUGUAAGAAGAAAUGGACGGCUUUUUCUCUUUCUCAGCAACAACGACAUUCUCCACCUUGACGGUUUCAACUUCCUGACAUGGUGUUUCAUAUAUUUCAUCGUCCAUUUCCACCUCCAUCAUUCUCUGAACCGUUUCCCUCAUCACUGCACACCCGUUUGUAGCGACAGCCGCACAACAAUUAUCACAACCAGGGAAAACUCCACUAUUCAUCAGAUGUCUCUGGACCUCCGACAUUGGAGUUCUUAAUUGAUCCACAUUCGUCUCCUCCAUUUUUUUCUUGUCCUUUGACAUCACGUUCACCCCCAUAGGACCAUGCAUUGGCACGGGGUCAACAUUAACAUUCGGCGUCGGUGCGAAAUUGAUGGCUUUAGAAUCCACCAAAUCUUGGACGACAUGCUUAAAUAUGCAUUGGCACGGGGUCAACAUUAACAUUCGGCGUCGGUGCGAAAUUGAUGGCUUUAGAAUCCACCAAAUCUUGGACGACAUGCUUAAAAGCUCUACAACCCUCAAUGUGAUGUCCGGGUGCCCCAGAAUGGAACUCACACCUGACGUUCUCAUCGUAAUCUGCAGGCCUCUGACCUAGUCCUACCGGAACCAACAUCCUUGGUUGCACCAAUCCAAGAUCCUUCAACCUCCUAAAUAGAAAGGCAUAGGUCACGGGUGGCUUAUCAAACUGACGAUCUGUCUUCCCUUUUCUCACUUGGCACCCAGCUUUCUGUGCUCUCUGUUGAGGCGGCUGCUGUUGCUGUUGUACAGGUUGAUUACCAGCAGGAAUAUUCACUGCAGCAGCAUACGGGUGGUAACGAUCCCUACCGUGCCCCCUUUUGGCAUACACAUCACUUGAUUCAACCUCCUUCUUGUGCUGACCACUACCAGAGGGCUUCUUUACUCCAGACGACGGAGCAUUUCCCUGUAUUUUCUCCGUUAUCAGCCAUUUUUCAAUCCUUUCCACCCUCUCAGCAAUUGCUUUCUGCCCCAAGGCGAGCCCUUGCACGACAUCGAAUAACUCCUUCAUCAUCUCUUUCAAUUCGAGAAUGUCGGCGUUGGGUGGAUCCAUCAGCUUGGAUUUGUUGCGUCUGGUAGGGUAUCUGAGCGGAGGAAUGAUUCGGUGGGCGCUGUAAGACCCCAAUUUUUGCCCUAAGAUCCCUCAUGGCAUCAUGUCAUAUCAUUCAUUUGCCUCAAGGAUCAUUGUACAUCUUAGCUUGCCUCCUAGUGGGUAGGAUGUCUUGUGAGUGUGAUUCUUGAUCACCAACGCAUCGUAUUGUCAUUGGUAUGUCAUUGCUUUUCAUAUGUUUACUAACAAAAUAGUACAAAAAUAUUGUCAUCUAACAUGUUGCUUGCAGAUGAAGCAAACUAGGUCAAAGCAGUCAAAAUCACGCCAUUGAGCUAAUGGAUAGUGGCAUUCUUGAAGAAUGGGCACUAUGAUCAUGCACAAAGUUCAUAUAAGUGUGAUAUCAUUUUUGAUAAUAAGAUUCUCAAGUGGUUAGGCUUGGGAAUUCACAGAACAUGGUUCACGUCAAAACCCUAGACAAGUCAACUGUGUGUCGUACUGUGGUUCAAACUGUGGUCAUUUAUCAGGGAUUGGAAGGUGUAAGAUGGUUGGAAAGCCUCAUUCAUAAUCCUACAGAGCUCAUUUGACAUUUCAAAGAUCAAGGUUGAAGGAUGAGGUCAGGCAAAAAGUUUCCCAAAAUGGAAUGACCUGUAUUUCACCUGCCAAUAAUGGAAAGUUUUUUCUCCUCAAAUUACUCAUCAUACAGAGCUUCAAAUGGAAUUGUCGCAACAUGAAAGUUGAAGAUCUUGUCUCACCUUUCAAAAAGUCCAAGAACAUGCAAUUCCCAUGUGUGGUUGGCAAAUUAUGACCAAAUCAUUUUCAGAAAAUGCCUAAAUUCAAAGUGGCAUAACUUUCACAUGGAAUGGCCAAAUUGGAUGGUUCUUUGUUGAGCAAACCAUAUUUGAUGUGUACUAUCCAAAUCCAUCAUCACAUUUCACCAAAAACAUUCACAUAAAAAGGUCAUUUUUCAAGUGGACCAUUUAAAAAUUGGUGGGAAAAAAGGCCAAAUUUCAAAAUACAAGGAAUUUUCAUAUGGGACCAAUUCCAUUAGCUUCUAAAUGCAAUUUAUGGUUUGCUCAAAGUGGAAAAAUACUGUUACAUUGGUUCAAGUCAUCCAAGGGCAAAUUGGCCAAAGUGCAUUACAAGCUCAUUCACUAAUCAUCAAAAUUGUGCUAAUCAUGAUUAAAGGGAUGGAUUAAGAGCAUGUAUAAAAGCCUAAUUCUAACAGAAUUGAAGGGAUCAAUAACCAUUUUUCAGAUCAAAUCACAAAAAUUCUCAAAUUCUCUCACUUUUCUCCAUUUUCACAUAAACUCUUUUUCUUCAAUUCAUCAAGAAUUCACCAAUUUCUUUGCUAGUUCUUUGUUGAUUCAUCUCUUGCAGGUAAUUUGCAAGGUCUGUUGAAGCAAUUGGAGAAGAAAAACCAUGCCAAUUACCAACUGUUGCAUCAUCACUCUUCAAUGGCAGUUGCGAAUUUACAUUGAUUCAUGCACUCUUGAGCUGAACUUUCUUCACCAUACACCUUCUUGAGCAUUAUACCACAUCUGUUUCACUGAAUUGGAGCAGAAUUCGCGCGGAUUUCACACUGCACCACCAAGAAGGUUGGAAUACGAAACCUUUAAUUAUUGAAAUUGUUAGGUGGAUUCAAUAGAUCUUUGAACAUAGAACAUUCUGGUGUUUGAAUCAUGCAUUUUCAUGGAGUAAUCGUGUAGAUAUUUGGAAUCAAAGUUUGUGUGACAAAACUAUUCUUGAUUAGAUCUUUGUGUAUGUUAACUUCUGAACAUUUUCAUUGCCAUAUCCAUGAUCUACGUGGAGAGACGGAGAGAACGGUAUAUAGUUCGUGCGUUUUGGUGUAAAAAAGUUCUUCACGAAUUCUGGUGUUCAAGAACAAUGAAGAACAUGAUGAAGUUCUUCAAAUUUCUGGAAAAAUCCCGUGUUUGAUCCUGUAUUCCUUGGCCUCGCGUUUGAAUUCCGUUUCCCGCUCGAAAGAGCCAAUGGCGUGCUGCCAUGCAGUUUAAUGAAACUGCAUCGUUUUGGCUAUGGCGCUAGUAAUUACAAUUUUGCCAUGCGCUGAUUAAUUAAUUCAAUUAAUUCAUUUUUAAACCUAAAUAAUUAUUUCAAUUUCAAUCAAAACUUCAAAAAAUCAUAAUUAAUUCAUCCCUAAUCCAAAUUGAGUGAGGAUUUUUUUGAUGAUCUCCAAAUUUUGUCUAGUUUUUUUUAGGCAUAGUAAUUCAAGUUGUGCCUGGUAAUUUUUUGGACUUGUCUAAUGGUCUUUGACAUGUGUGCUAUAUAUGUAUGUUUCACCAUAUUGAUCAUAAAAUAAUCAUGCUUGCUCCAAAAUGAAUGAAAUUUCACAUGCUUGUUCUUGACUCUUGCCUGGUGAUUUUGAUGUAUAGUUUGUUAUUUUUGAGUUCCUGGUUAGAGAGAUAUGAUGUGAUCUUCAUGAGUGUGACAAUAUGUGUCACACUAUGCUAUGCUGUGUUCAUGAUUUAAUUUCCCAUGCUUUCACUAGGCCUAUGGCUCUGAUUUUUUGCAUGUGAUAUCAUAUGAAUGUCUAGUUUCACCAUGAAUUUUUGUAGGAAUUAUUGAUCCAUUUCCCAUUUGAUUCGGAUUUUUGAUUGCUGUCUAGCAUUUUUAGGGUUUUGCUUGAGUAGCAAACUUCCAUAUCUUGUGAAAUGCUCAUUUCUUACCAUAUGAAUGUGAAAUUUGGUGGAGAGUGUCUUAACAUGUUUAGCUUCACUUUGGCUUUGGUCCCAUUCAUUUCUCAUUUGUUCCCACUGUUUUACAAUUGAUUGAAGUUGACACUUGAUUUGUGACCUAGUUUAGGUUGAUUUUUGCAUGCCAUGACAUGUUGAAUUUAAUUUCCCUACUUCCUCUAGUCCAAAUGCCAUGAAAUUUGAUAUGUAGCUCAUUGAAUGUGUCCUGUUUAGACUGGAAUUUUUGUGGAAUUUAUUGAGCUGUUUUGGUAUUUGUUUGAUGGUAAUCAUUCUGUUUGCUCAUAUAUGGUUCACACUUGACUACUUUGACCUAAAUUGUGCAUGAAAUAAAUUUGGUGCAUUGUUUUGAUAUGAGACCAAUUGGUCCUUCUUCUUAAUUGAUAAAUCUUGGUUGUGAUCAUGUUUUACUUGCUGUUUUAAAAUUUUUCCAUCCUUUGGACCCUAGGCUUGUCCUAGUGGUCUUGUUACUUAUGUUUGAGCUUGCUUUUCAGGUUGUGGAACCAUUUGCUUUAAGGAGAUAAAUUCAAGUUGUUUUGAGUUGUUUCAUUUGAUGUUAUGAACUAACUUGGUUUAUUUUGUAGGAUGCUUGGCUCACUUGAGUUGAUUGUGCUUUGCACCUUGCAUUGUUUGAUUGUACAUUGUUUGUUAAUUCUUAUGUUGUUGUUUUGAUUUUGUGAUUGGGAUGCUGAUUAUAUUUGAUUGAUUUCAGGUACCCUUAGUUGCUCAGUUCUCUUGAGAACUUGCAUUGCUUUGCUUGUAUAUCAUUUGCAUUGAGGUAGACUCUCUUGUCUCCAUGUAGUCUGGAAGACCUGGCUUGUUGUUUAGCCAGGCAACUGUCUGAAGUCCUCCUUAAGAGGCAAUGUUUGUGAUUGUUUAAAUUUGUCCCCAAGCAGGUAAAGACCUCAUAUGAGGCAAUUGGUAGAAAAGAGAUAUGCAACCUAUCUCCUACUAUUCUGUGAGUCACUCACCUUGCUCACACUACUUGUGUUGAUGCAUAGUGAGUAAAAACCCAAGAUCUAUCGAGUCUAACUUGUGGAGAGAGUUCCAUCUUUCUGAACUCCCACACCUUCUGAUAUUCAAUGCUCUCCCUGACCAGGGAUAAGAGUGAUGAGGCACACCCCUCAUAUCCUUUCAUCUGCUUCACCUUAGCCCCUCAAUGGCAAGGUUAAGAGUGCCAUUCACCUAUUCCAGUUGACUUUUCGAGUCAAACCCUUUGAUUGAGCCUAAAUUGUGUGGUUAUAGUGUGUGCUACUUGAACUUGUUUGAUUGAUUAUUUGAUUCAUUUGAACAUGAUUGCUUACUUGCCAUUGCGCAUUCAUCAUUAUUGAUUGUUAAUUCUUGUAUGAUCAUUAUUGCAUACCCUUGUGGUUUGUUUGAAUUUACCCAUUGAGGACAAUUGUAAGACCAUGUUCUUUGGCCAUUGUUCCCAUGAUAUGGAAGGAUAGAGUGUAAGACCUCAUUGGUCACUCAUAUCUUCUUUGCUCUUGUUUGUUGUAUGAGAGGAUGCAAUUGUAAGUCCCUGUGAUGUGGCAUUUGUAUUCCUAUGACCAUACUUUGGAGGUUGGUAUAAGUCCAGAUAGAUUGGCAUCCGACAUCCAAAUUUUGUUUUAUUUUAGGAGGUUGGUGUAAACCCAGUUAAUUGGUAUCCGACAUCCGCUUUUGCUUUUAUGAGAUUGGUAUAAGACCAUUGAUGGCAUCCGGUAUCACCUUGCUUUUAUUUUGCUUACUUGCUUUGUUGCCUCAUUCCUAAGGACACCCUUGAAUCAUCUCCUAUAUGAUCUCAAGAGGUGAACUUCUAGGAAGUUUUACACUUCAUCCACACCCUUUUUGUUUAAAACCCCUUUUCACUUAUUGACUUUUCAAAUCUUGUAAAUGCAUGUUGUGCAAACAUUCUCAUCCUCCUUUUCAAAUUAGAAACUUGGACCCUAAGUCCUUGACUUUUCAAACUUCUUUUCAUAACACUUCUUUGAAUCAAUCUAACCAUACUCUGACCAUCCUUUUGUGAAUAAUCAUAAUCCAUUAAUCCAACUCAUUCAAUUGUUUUGUGGCUUUGUCCAUGCUUGUUAAGUUUUCAUACAUUAGCCAUAGGUUUGAUUUAUCCUAGUUGGUUGAUGUUAACCUCACCUAUUUGUCCUUAGUUGAUUGAAUUGUAAGUCUUCCUUGCUUAUUAUAGGGUUAACCCCUCACUAGCAAGUGGAAGCUUUUCUCACAUGGUGGACUUGUUGUUUCAUAGGGUUGAGUUUUCUCCCGUGGAUAACGUAAAGCCUUAGUGCUAUUGUUUUAAAAUGAACUCACAAAUGUUUGGAAAUUUUUUAGCCGAACUACGGCGUUUNNNNNNNNNNNNNNNNNNNNNNNNNNNNNNNNNNNNNNNNNNNNNNNNNNNNNNNNNNNNNNNNNNNNNNNNNNNNNNNNNNNNNNNNNNNNNNNNNNNNNNNNNNNNNNNNNNNNNNNNNNNNNNNNNNNNNNNNNNNNNNNNNNNNNNNNNNNNNNNNNNNNNNNNNNNNNNNNNNNNNNNNNNNNNNNNNNNNNNNNNNNNNNNNNNNNNNNNNNNNNNNNNNNNNNNNNNNNNNNNNNNNNNNNNNNNNNNNNNNNNNNNNNNNNNNNNNNNNNNNNNNNNNNNNNNNNNNNNNNNNNNNNNNNNNNNNNNNNNNNNNNNNNNNNNNNNNNNNNNNNNNNNNNNNNNNNNNNNNNNNNNNNNNNNNNNNNNNNNNNNNNNNNNNNNNNNNNNNNNNNNNNNNNNNNNNNNNNNNNNNNNNNNNNNNNNNNNNNNNNNNNNNNNNNNNNNNNNNNNNNNNNNNNNNNNNNNNNNNNNNNNNNNNNNNNNNNNNNNNNNNNNNNNNNNNNNNNNNNNNNNNNNNNNNNNNNNNNNNNNNNNNNNNNNNNNNNNNNNNNNNNNNNNNNNNNNNNNNNNNNNNNNNNNNNNNNNNNNNNNNNNNNNNNNNNNNNNNNNNNNNNNNNNNNNNNNNNNNNNNNNNNNNNNNNNNNNNNNNNNNNNNNNNNNNNNNNNNNNNNNNNNNNNNNNNNNNNNNNNNNNNNNNNNNNNNNNNNNNNNNNNNNNNNNNNNNNNNNNNNNNNNNNNNNNNNNNNNNNNNNNNNNNNNNNNNNNNNNNNNNNNNNNNNNNNNNNNNNNNNNNNNNNNNNNNNNNNNNNNNNNNNNNNNNNNNNNNNNNNNNNNNNNNNNNNNNNNNNNNNNNNNNNNNNNNNNNNNNNNNNNNNNNNNNNNNNNNNNNNNNNNNNNNNNNNNNNNNNNNNNNNNNNNNNNNNNNNNNNNNNNNNNNNNNNNNNNNNNNNNNNNNNNNNNNNNNNNNNNNNNNNNNNNNNNNNNNNNNNNNNNNNNNNNNNNNNNNNNNNNNNNNNNNNNNNNNNNNNNNNNNNNNNNNNNNNNNNNNNNNNNNNNNNNNNUUUUGGAAAUCUUUUAGCCGAACUACGGCGUUUUGAUCCUUACCUUUGAUGGAAGGUACGUAGGCAACGGGUUCAUCCGUUCGAACACAAAAAUAAUUAACUUGUACAUUCUUUUCUCAUCAUCCCAUUCAUGUUUGCACAAUAUGUCAUAAACAAAAAAACAUUUCUUAUACAACAAGUGUGAAAAGGGCUCCCUAGGAGUACCUAGGACGUGAUGGGUGCCUAACACCUUCCCAUUGCGUAAUUUACCCCUUACCCAGAUUCUCUGAUCUUUUAUUGGUUUUCUAUGUGUAAAACUUCUUAGGUUUUUGUUCGCUUUUUAACCAGUCCUUAGGAUAAAUAAAAGUGCGGUGGCGACUCGAAUUCAUUGUAUACUUUGCUUAUGGUUUAAUCAAUAGAUCAUAUAGCGACGAAUACACCGCUACAGGCGCGAGCAGUGAUUCUUCUGUCAACCAAACAGGUUAGAUAUUGGCACCUACAAAACAACAAACAGGUUAAUAUGACUCACACAUGAAUGCAAUGUCUAUCCGUACGAGGAACAUUCCGUCCUUUGACUCUGGCUUCAUCGAGACAGAUAAUAAUUCAACAAUAACAUUCGGACAUCAGCAUGUCUCUCAACCAGAAUCUCAAUAAAAAAUGUACCCUGAGUAUGGAUAGACAUGGGUUAGAUGCAGAUGAAUGCAAAAUGGGAAUGAUGCAGAUGCAUGAAUGCAAGUCAUUGUGCAUCUUCCAAGUCAUCUGAAGAUCCACUGUAUUGGAUUCUGGUCUCUGAACUGAUCAUAAUCAUCUGAAGGACCAAGUCACCAUAAAUCCAACUCAGGAGGUUCCGAAAUAAACGGAACUGGAGGUUAUAUCACCCUCAUCACAGGAAAUCCACUGAAUGAAUGACGACAAGAUCCUCUGAACAAGUACCCUUGGAUUCAACCCGGGGAUCCGAAAUAAACGGAACCCACUGAUAGAUACCACGGACAGCAUUCCGGCGUCUCAGAAAUAAAUGUCCAUAAGUCCAACUGAACCAAAGUCACCAUCAGUACCUGCAAAUGAUUCAAUCCCGCCCCACUCACGGGUGUCAUCUAGGCUAGGGUAAGGUCAAGAGAAACGCAGGAUAAACGAUCCUUUCAAGAAUAUCAUCAUAUGCACACCAGGUGUAUGCAACGAUAAUACCCCAUCAGAAUCUGAACUGCUCGUGAUAUCAUGUUCUGCUAAGUGGCGCCAUACCACCCGCUUCCCAUGAAUCACUCUAUUCCUAGGUGUCCUAGAGUUCACUCAUAGCCUGUGUAUUGGGCCUUUUACCUCUUGUGAUCCCCACCCAACAGAGAAACAGAUACACAGCCAGCACAAUGAUAAUAUGAUGCAUGCAAACAUAUAUGCAAGUAUAUACAAUCACAGCAUAAUAAACAGGAAUGCAAUAAAUAAAACAGUAAAAGCAACAAACACUAUCCUAAAGAGCGCUAGGAUUGACUCGCUUAGGGAAGAUGGACCAGCAAGAGGUCAACUUCUCUAGAAUCCCCAGCAGAGUCGCCAGCUGUCGCAUACGCGAAAAACAACCGGCGGGAAAAGACACAGAGCCGCCACCGUGCGUUAUUUAUCCCAAAGGAGGGAAAGGAAUCGCAUACGCGAAAAACAACCGGCGGGAAAAGACACAGAGCCGCCACCGUGCGUUAUUUAUCCCAAAGGAGGGAAAGGAAACGCUCGAAGUAAACUUGGAAAGGAAAUGGUCUUACGACCAGAGAUUGCUAGGAUCGGGAGUCGGUUACGCAAGGGGAAGGUAUUAGCACCCCCUCACGUCCAUCGUACUCGACAGGAUCCACGCUCAAAAGAAUAGAAUAAGGUUGCUAAAUAACUGCUCAAAGACUGCACAAACUGGAAUGAAACACAGAUGAAAGAAGACGGAGGAAGGGGACUCGGCAGGAUGUCGCAUCCUGGGCCUACGUAGUUUGUCAGGAACAAACAUCAGAGUCGACGUAGUUCGGGGGAACGUGAAACGUGCUCGCUAGGAUAUCGCAUCCCGUGCAUACGUAUCUUUUCUAACCAGAGUAAGAAUCAGAGCACUCGUAGCUCGGCUAACGCACGCCGAAACAAAACACUGAAAGAAGACGCUGAGACGUCAAAAGAAACCACACAAACGCAAAUAGGAAACGAAAUGCCAAUCGCUGGUCUUACAUCCAACUCCACAAAAGAAACAGGAAACAGAUAGCCAAUCAAUGGUCUUACAUCUGACUCCACAAACAAGCAAACGGGAAACCGAAUGCCAAUCGUUGGGCUUACAUCAGACUCCAAACAAACACAACAAACGGGAAACCGAAUGCCAAUAGAUGGACUUACAUCAUACUCCAAACACACACACAAAGCAGAAGGGUUGGAAAAGAAAAAGGGUCUCGAUUGCAACUAGGGCAAGAGAAAGGGAAGGUCUCAAUCGCAACGAGGGCGAGAGAAAAGAAUCGCAACGAGGGCGAAAACUAGCAAGAAUUAAAUGUUAGUCGUCAAUCAAACUCGACAAGACAUCGCAUCUUGUGCCUACGUAUCUCAUCUGGACAUGAGAAUCAGAGUUGCCGUAGUUCGGCUAAACUAUUUCUAUUUGUUUUGUGUUUUUUAGGUGAACAACGUCACUACGCAAUCUACCGGAUGCUCGACCUUGGGAGACUUACUCACCUGUAGUAGAAGGAGUUAACGUGUCCUUAAGAGAAGGUAAAGUUUGUUUGUGUUUUAGGAAUGCUCACGCAAGAAAGGAAGUCCUAGACGAAGGAACCGUGCUACCUUAAUUGACAUGCAAACGAGAGACUAUACGAAGUCUAGCAAUCCUAUGGGGAUACAAAAACAAGUCUCAAAAGAGAACAAAAACCGGAAAUGGAAUGCCAAUCAAUGGGCUUACAUCCAACUCCAAAGCAAAACGGGAAACAGAUAGCCAAUCACUGGUCUUAUAUCUAACUCCAAAAACAAACGGGAAACAGAAAGCCAAUCGCUGGUCUUACAUCUAACUCCACAAAACAGGAAACAGAUAGCCAAUCGCUGGUCUUACAUCUGACUCCUCAAACAAACGAUCAAACAAGCAAUCAAGCAACACACGCUAUAUGCAAACAAGAGGCUCAAACAAGGCUGGGCUUUAGUCAAGGGGUUAUAUCAACCUCGACAAACAAGCCAACACUGGAAGGGUAUCUGAGGGCUCUUAACCACUGACAUUGACCGUCAGGGUGAGCAGAUUAAAGGUAAUGAGGAUAAGACCUCAUAGCUCUUAACCCGGGCCUGGGUGAGCUUGAAUCAAUGAAAACGUGGGGAUCCAGAAUGAGGGACCCUACUCCACUUGACUGACUCUAUAUACAAGAUCUUGGGUGUUUAUUCAAAAGCAUCAGCACGUAGUGCGAGCAUAAUGAAAGACUCAACUGAAUAGCAGGGGAUUGAUUGCUAAUCCCUUCUAUCUGCCAAUUGCCUCUUCACUUAGGAGGACUUGAAGUACAUGGCACAAAUAUAAACAAUCACAGUCAUUGCCUCUUAAGGAGGACUUCAGCCAAAUGCCUGCCAAAAGAAACGACAUGGCUUCCAGACUACAUGGAGUUAGAGGAUGAUUACCUAGGUGGUAUGCCAACCACAAGCAAAGCAAAGCUCAAUCAAUGAGCUAAAAGCGACUAAUGUACCUGUGAGAAAGUCAAACAAGUCAAUAUUCACAUUCAGACAAAUCCAACAGAUAGUCAACAGUGUUACAACCAAUAUGUUCACAAUGCAAGUCAACAACUCAAGUGAGUUCAACACCAAGGUACCUCCAACACAACAAAGGUAGUGGACAAAGCAAAUUUGCAUCUCAAGUCAUAAGAUCAACAUCAACCAUUAGGACUAGAAGCUUGAACCUGAAAUGCAAAGCUCAAAAGGUGAGUACAAACCACUAGUGCAAAGACUAGGGUCAAAGGCAAAUCAAAAAAUCAAAACAGCAGCCAAUAUUUAGCAUGAAGCACAUUUAUUCAAGUAAGAACAUGUCCUAAAAAGGACCAGACUCAAAUCCUAAAGCAAAUCCAUCUAAUGAUCAUGCUAAGGCAAAGGCAGACAAUGGUGUUCACAAUUGGAUAUCAAGAAGAGAAAUUCCACAUUAAAUCAGAAACACAUCCCAUGAUCAUGAAAAUUUAUAUACAAGCUCAACAUGUUAAACACAAGCAGCACGCAAAAAAUUAAAAUCAGAAGAGCUUAACUGGCAUGUCAAUGAAAAUGAACAAGAUCAACAUCAAAAUGUGUGACACACAUUGUCACACCAUACAUUCAUGUGUCCAAAACAGAAAUGAAAAAUGCUAAAAAUGCCAAACAAAAGCUCACAAAUCAGGCAACAUGUUAGGACAAAGCAUAUUAAAUUUCAUGGCAAUUGGAUCAAGUAUGAGCAUUCCACAAUUAAUUGAAUGAAGCAUGGUAGAUUUGCAUACAUGUUCAAACACCAGUUCACAUUCAAAAAUCCAGAAAUGAUAAAAUCAGGAAAUGGACAUCAUAAAAUACUAGACAUUAAGAUGAACAUGUGAGAAAAAAUUUGGAUUUAAUUGGAUUCAUUUUCUAUUUUUUAUGAUUUUUACAAAUUGCAUGAAAAUAAUGAAAUAAAUGGAAAACAUGUGGAAAAUGUUAUUGAAUGGGAAUUGGAAAAAUGCUACAUGAAGGAAUCGAACCAUGUAUGCAGUCAAAAAUAGAGGCGCUCAGGAAAAAUUAAUUGGAAUUGUCCACGCCUAGAAUCGAACCCAGGGCAUAUCAAAACACCGCGUUUGGACUAAUGAAGGAAAUCAAGUGGAAAAAUAAAAAGGCAUUCGCUGGGAAUCGAAUUGGAGACGGGAAGGUUGCAAGGCGCUACAGUAAAGCGUUGCGUUUCACUUAUUGAAGUGGUGCACACGUGAGCGGUCAAAGGACACGCAGGCCAGUCAAAAGAAGCCUGGCCAAUGGAAGCGCCAAGCAGGCGCAUGCGUGGACGACAACUAGGCAAAGCCCUAGGACAGUUGCAGACGGCGGAGCAACCGUCUUCUCCGGCGAGACAGGCGGAGCUCCGCCAUGAAAAUUACCAGAACUCAACAAAUUUUACACCAUUCGAAUGGUCCUUCCAAGCACAUUCCAAAUCCAUGAUUAAUACAUCCUAAUUCGUGCUAUAUUUCAUGAAUCGAGCAAAAACAUUAUGAUGUGCAAAAACUUUGAAUCAACAUAACUUCACCAAUAUCCAUCCAUUUUCAAUAAAAUUUAUAUCAGAAUUCUCAGUGUUCAAAGACCUACAAGAUCAUGGCAAUAGAAUUAAGAAUAGUGAGAUUCGAUUUCUAACCUCUUGAAGAACAAAAUGAUGAUUCAAUGGAUUUGAGGCCUCAAAAGUAUCCAAAUCUUCUCAUCCACUUGUGUACUGAAGCUUUAUGCAUGAUUUGAUGCUGGAAAUGGCUUGUACGCAGCUUAAUCUUCAAGUUCCAUGUUCAUCUUCAUGAGCUCAACUUGCUUGAUUCUUGGCCAAAAUCUUCAAAUCAAUGCUUGAUCCUUCAUUCAACAGCUUAGUCUUGCUCAAUAUCCAAAGAAUAUGCAAGGAUUUGAUGUGUUUAUGUGCAAAAUUUGAAAGGUUUCAAUUGAGAAGAAAAUUGGAGGGAGAAAUUUUCUAGAUAUCUCAUCUAGAAUUGUGGUUAACGAAUAGAGAAAUUCUGUUAUGAAUUAAAGGGCUUUAAUACAAAAAUAAAUCUAUUGUGUUAUUCAUGCUGACAAUGUAUUUAGUAGACAUAUGUGUUAUUAAGGAUUAGAUUUGCACAAUAUGAAGAGUGCAUAUUUGGCAAAUUGUAAAACAUCCAUAUGCUAUGGCAAAGGCAAAAUGACACGUGACAGUGUUAUGUGGAAGGUGUAGAAUACCACUUAAAUAUAAUACAAGUUCACAUGGAACAAAUGGAGCAUUGGAAUUAUUUUAUUCAUGGUCUAGAUGCAGUGAAUAGAGCACUAAACAAAACGCAUUAUAAAUUCAUAUCAUUUUGUCCAUCCGAAAAAUAGACAUGAUGCAUGGAACAAAAAAUGAUAUCAAAUGGUGAUUAAUUACAUGUUUCAAUGGCAAAAUUGAUAAAUUGUUGGAGAAAUAGUAUGGUGACUAGGAAACAUGCAUUUGCAAAAAUAAGAGUGAUGGCCUAAAAUUUGAGAGGUUUAAAUAUAAUCAAAAGUUUAUGCAAUUUGAAGGAAGUUUCAUCAACGAUUUGGUGUAAUAAAACACUUGCCCUCAUAAUUGAAUUUGUGUAUACCUGUCACCAUGCUCAUACUUCAGCGAACCAUUCAUACAGAAUGCAUCAUAAUGGACAAAAGAUUGGAAAGCGUUUUUGGAAAAUAGGGCAGAGAAAAUAUUUGCUUCAAACUUGUUCAUGUUGAAGCAAACAAAGUAUUGAUCGGCAAAUUUCAUGUAUUUGAAAAGGCUUUUUGAUGUUGGAAGAAGUCAAGUUGAAUGUGGUGCCAGAAAACUGCCGAUGUUUUAGGAAAACAUACUUGAAAUUACAGGUCACUUUCCAUUUUUGGAAACUUUUGAUCUGGCUUCAAAUCCUUCAAGAUAAGUGUUUGACAUGAUGAAUAGGCCUCUUUUGGACAUGAAUGAAGUGUCUCAAACCAUUUCUCCACCUCCUAGCCCUCAGUUGACUUUCAGUUCACUUUUAUGGGCCCCAGAUGACUUGAAAAUGCACUGAUGAUUUUCUUGAUGCCAAUGCUGAAUGCAAUGAUACAAUGCAAGAUGGAAUGAUAAAUGACCUAAAAAAUGAAAUGAAUGCAUGAAUGGGGGGUGCAAAUUUGAGGUGCUAUAGUCCCAUAAAAGAAAUUAGAGAUUUUAAGAAGCACAUAAGCAAAACAUAACACUAAGAGAGCUUGGAAACAUCUCAAUGAAUUAAACCAAGUGAAAUAUUACAAGAUAUCACUAAAAACUUGAUUACUUCGAAUGCAAGUCAAUCACAAGACAACUAAAGUUGCUUUAAACAUAGCGAUUUAAAAACAUUUACAUAGAUAUUCAUUUAAGACAUAAUUGACUUUGUGAUUAUCCAAUAAGAUUGAUGUAUCACAUACCUAAGCUUACAUAUUAAGUCUCUAUAAGCACGGUCUAAUCUCAAUGAUGUACAAAUGAUGCAAUAAUACACUAAUGUGAUGGCGAUAUUAAUGAAUGCUAUAAAAUUAAAGGAGGUAUGAGAAUAAGGAAAAGAUACACAGAGAUGUAUAGUUGUUCGACGUCCUUCCUCACUUUGCCAACUCCACUCUCUAAUGGUGUUAAAGAACCAUCAAGAAAUAAUCAAGAUCUUCCACUAUUUUGAUAAGUUUGAUACAAGCAUUUUGAUUACAAUGAACUAUCACACGAUAAUUUCCUCUGUUGAUGCAGACACUCAAAUUGCAAAUUGGAUACGUGAACAAACAUAAAUAGAAUAUCAAUAAUAGUAAAAAAAAUUAGACAUGUUCAUGGAAGUAGUAAUAGCAAUGGAAUAUAGAUUGAUAAUUAAAAUGGUAUGACAAGAUUAAUAGCAUAUAAAUUUGACAAUUAAAAUAACAACUAAGCAAGAUUAAAGGUAAUUUAGUAAAAAUGACAUGUAAAAGCUUCAAACAAUAACAAUGGCAGUAAUAAAUGAUUGAAAGAGAAAGUAAAUUAAAUCUGAAAAUUAAACUGCAAUUUUCUCCAAACGGAGUCUUCAACUCGGUACAUGAAAUAAAACUUUGCUGCAACUUAAAUGAUGGAAUAUAAACUUGCUUCAAAAUAAACACCAAGUUUAACACUAAUUUUUGCAACAAUCCCUUGAUGUGAGAAAUUGAAGUUUUUAAGAACUAAUAUUUGUGCCUAACAAUGCUUGGAUGAUGAAAAACUGAAAACUCGGCCUAUUUAUAGAGCUAAAACUGGUAGAAAACAUCUAGAGUUCGUGUUGGAGGAGUGGAGGAAAUAUAUAUUGAAGUGGGGAGAAACUGAAUCUUCAUGUUGCUAUUUUUCAGGAGGACGUCAUAUGGAGGACAUGGGUUUUAAGUCCAUGGCGAACGCCAUGACCUCAUGGAAAACUACAUGAAUUCAAAAACCUUUCUCUUUGACUUUUCUUGCUUGUUAGGUGGCGCCCAUGGCUACCACGUCACGACAAGCGCCAUGGUGAACGCCAUGAGUACAAAUCUUGGUUUUUUCUCUGUUUUUCGUCAUUUUCGUCCUGAUUUCUGCAUGGAUGCUCCUACCUAGAAAAUACUUGAAACAAACACAAUAUACCAGCAUAACACAAUAAAAAAGAGACAAAAUAAGCUAAAAUGUCACGUGAAUUGAUUUGGAAAUGCGAUGUGUUUUGUGAUUAUAAAACUCCCCCAUACUUGAACCUUUGCUUAUCCUCAAGCAAGCUGCUAGCAUAUAUGAAAAUUGUGUAAAUGCAAGAAUUUAGUAUAAAUACUUAAAGAAUCCAUAGCAUUCAAAAUCCGUUUCGGCCAAAAUUGAUUUGAUAGGUUUUAACAAUACACUAAGGAUAUCAUGAAAACACAAUUCCGCAUUUCGCGGUCAAAAGUCUCCCUCCUAUGAAAACCAAUACGAAUCAUGCCAUUAUGCCUAAACCUAAAUCACUCAUCCUCUUUUUCAUCCCUUUUCAUUCUAGCGCAAUCACAUUAAGCUUGUUACCCUAUCACGCACAUAGUAGGCAAAUUUGUUAUUGAUUAUGAUCUAGUUUUAUUAAUUUGUGCACUUUGGCUUUAAUCAUUAAUUAAUAGAAGGAUAAGGAUAAAUGACUAGGUGAGAGUCGUCUAACUAAGAAGGAACAUUCCUAUUUUAUUCAUUUUUUAAGCCCGUGAUCAUUCACUUAUUUGCAUCAACUUCCCUACGUAAUGUGUGUUUUAAGAUGUUGUUGACUGCUUAGAUAAACUACUCAAGGAUUAUUAGAAGGCAAUAACUUAAGGCUAUGGCAUAAUAUGUAUUCAAAAUGAUCUCCAUAUUUGGGAUGCUUGAGGUGUUGGGACGAUAACGAUUUUGCAACAAUUUUCCUAAGUCUCCUCAACCUAGCCUCUCUUUCGUUUGUAGCAUAUAUACUUUCUAAUCGUGCUACCAAUUUCAAGUCUUUUCAAGUAGAUUUUUUUGGGUAGGACUUAAGAAAUUUGGAGAUUCAAUAAACAACAAGAAAUCACGCAUAAAUGACUUGACAACACAUGCAAAGACUUAAAACAUACACUACGUUAUGACAUAAAAAAACAACCAAUGACAUAAAACUAACAUAAUAGCAAAAAUUCGGAAAAACAGAAAGUAAAUAAAAGCGCUAAACGCCUACCCUACACUUAAAUCCUACAUUAUCCUCAAUGUAAGGAAGUAAGUGCAAGAGAGGUAGAAAAUACCUGGUGUUUUAAGAUCAAGUGCAAGAGAGAAGAAAAGUGAUGCACUACAUGCCUUUAAGUUGUUCAAGAACUAUGUCACAAUUCAGUUCAAUUAAAAAAUCAAGGCCAUACAAUAAGAUUUUGGUGUAGAAUUUAGACCGUUCACAAAGUUCCUCAAUGAACUAGGUAUCAUCCACAAAAUCACAUACCCUCAUACAUCACACUAAAAUGGAACAGUAGAAAGAAAACACAGACAAAUUGUUGAAAUGGGAUUGACUCUCUUGGCUUAUGCAUCCUUACCUUUAGACCUACAGGGACAUAACUUCACCACUACAGUAUAUCUUAUCAUUUAUCUACCUACAUUAGAUCAUUCAAGUUAUUCAUUUCAAAGUUUUUGGAUGCUCAUGCUAUACACACUUGAGGCCCUAUAACCAACACAAGUUGUACUUUAGAAGCACCUAGUGUGUUUAUUUAGGAAUUUCUCAUAAAGACAAGAGCCACAAAUGCAUGAAAAAAUAUGGUAAAAUUUUUAUCCCAAAGGAUGUCAAGUUUAAUGAAGUAAAAUUUCCCUACUUGAGCCUACAAACUCAACUAGUCACAAAUAUAUCAUAGUCUCACAAAUCAACUCUGACUAGUCUCAGUCCUUCAUCCCAUGUACCAUGUAUCAAUCCCUCCUCCCAUGUAUCAAGUCCCACAUUACAACCUAUAUUCAAAUGCUCCACCUGAAUCUAGUAACAUAGAAAUGAGCCCUCAAUCUAACUCUGGACCACCACAACAGGUCUAACCUAUUCCUACCAACUCAUGCUCAUUAAUGCCUAGUAGUUCUAACCAUGAUAUAGUUGUGUCCACUGGUAACUCUGUUAAGUCAGUUGUACCUUAUCACUCUAAACUCCAAGACAUGAAUCUCAAUCAGUCAACUUCAAGUUUUUCACUUGUGCAACAUCAAUUCAGGUCUGAUGCUAACUUGACCAAUAAGUCACCUUAGGAUACAAACUCAUUUGUUUCUAAAUAUGUUUCACAAACCACAAAGUCUUUGUCUCCUUCUAUUCACAUUCAAACCAACACCUCCACCUCAACCUGUCAACAACCAUUCCAUGCUUACUAGGGCCAAAAAUGGUCACUCAAAGCCCAAAGUGUUUCUAGUACAUUAAGAACCAACAAUAAUCAAACUGGCACUAGCUAGUUCUUAGUGGCUUUAUGCUAUGCAAACUGAGUUCAAUUCACUGCUCAAUAAUGGUACCCGGGUCCUAAAUACUCUUCUAACUCACAGGAAAGCCAUAGGUUACAAGUGGGUUUACAAAGUCAAGGAAAAUCCUGGUGGCUCUAUAAAUAAACAAAAAUCAAGGCUUGUGGAAAAUGGAUUUCAUUAACAAGGGGUUUAACUUCUAUGAAACUUUUUCACCAAUGGUUAAGCCAACUACCAUAAAGGUCAUACUCUCACUAGCACUCACCUUCAAGUGGAAAUUCAACAAAUAGAUGUUAAAAAUGCCUUCUUAAAUGCAAUAACCACCAAGGUUUGUGACUAGUGACACCACUCUUGUAUGAAAACUACAAAAGGCUAUAUAUGGACUCAAAAAAGCCCGUGUGGCUUGGUAUGAGAAUCUACAUCAAGCAUUACUUCAAUAUGUCUUUACCUCAAGCAAAUGCGACGACUCACUUUUCAUCUACCAACACCAAAAUGUUACACUUUAUGCCUUGGUGUAUGCAAAUGAUAUCUUGAUUACAGGUACCUCAUCAUCACUAAUCCAUGAUCUCAUAUAAGUUUUCUCUCAGGAAACUUGGGAAGCCACAAUAUUUCAUAGGAAUUAAGGUUAAUGAGAAGCACGAUGAGGUAAUACUUCUCACACAAUACGAGUACAUAAAAGAUCUAGUGGCCAAAGUAAACAUGGUAGGAGCUAAUGGAGUGAAUACACCAAUGUUCAGCUCAUGCAAACUCAGUAAGUAUGUCACCGAUGUUCUAUCCAAUCCCACCAACUCCAUGUCCAUAGUUUGUGCACUUCAGUAUGUUACAUUAACAAGACCAGGCAUUGCCUUCAGUGUCAACAAGGCUUAUGAUCAAUUUAUGGUACAACCACUAGAGACACAUCAGAGUGUAGUCAAAUGUGUCCUCCAGUAUCUUAGUGGAACUGCAGAUCAUGGCUUACUCCUCAGUCCUUCAAACUCAGUGCAACCAUUAUUCCUCAAAGCCUAUAGCGAUUUUGAUUAGGCAAGUGACCAUGAUGACAGGCGCUCCACAUUUGGCUCGUGUGUUUAUCUUGGCUCCGAUCUUAUAUCGUGGAGUUCCAAGAAAUAAUCAUUGGUUGCACGAUCUAGCGCAAAAGCAGAAUAUAAAGCUCUUGCACAUACGAAAAUGAGUUGUUAUGGAUUGAAUCAUUCCUUGAAGAAUUGGAUAUCAAGCUGGAAACAUUAACGCUGCUUUAUGACAACGUUAGUGCAAUCAUGGUCGCUCACAAUCUGAUUCUCCAUGCAAUAACUAAACACAUUGAGCUUGACUUUCAGUUUGUACGUUAAAGGGUAUUCUCUAACAAGCUUGCCAUUCAACAUAUUAUUGGUACAUUACAAGUUGUAGAUGUGCUCACCAAACUCUUGUUUCAUACAAUUUUUCAUGACUUCAAAUCCAAGCUUAAAGUUGUUUCCUUGAUCCAACUAUGAACUUGUGAGAGGAUAUUAGAUUAAUAUAUAGAAGUAUGUAAAAGUUAGCUAAAAGGUUAGUCGCACGAUCUAGGAAAGUUAGUUAUCUAAACACUAACUAUCUUUCAAAUUCUCCAACUAACUUAAGUGUAUAUAUAUCAAGCUUCACUCAAUAUAAAUGUAAUGAACAAUGCCACCAAGAUCACAUACAAAGUUUUCCAUACUACUCUCUCUUAAUCUUCAUAAUCAGCUGUUCAUUCUCAUUAAUAUGAAAGUUAGAUGUUAAAACAAUAUAAAAUGAAUCAUUUGUAAUAUUUGAAGACCCAAAUUUUAAAUUUAUGAUUAUUUUUAGAAAAAUCAUUGAAAGCAAUAUUUUUUUUAAAGAUAUUAUACUCUCUCUUAAUCUUCAUAAUCAAUAGAGUACUAUUUUAGAUAUUAUAUCUUUUAUUAAAUUUGUUUUGUUAAAAUGAUUUAAAAAUAAAUUAUCAAAGAUUUGUAUUUAGUGAAUAAAACACAGCUGGAAGCAACAAAACCCCUAUAUAAGCCGCAACAAGUUGCAACUAAACCCUAAACUUUAGAUUUCAAACAUAUCAACACCUUUUUCCCAUUGAUCAAUGGAAGACAAUCAUGAUCAAACAUCCCACACCCUUCCCUCUUGCCAACACGAUUUCCCAAACUCAGCAACCAUGUGCGAUAUAUGCAUGCAAUCAAAAACCGAUAUCACAUUAGGGUUACCCAACAAAAUCAAACUAGUACGUUGCCCCCAAUGCAAUUUCUACUUACACCUCCCUAAAAUAUGGGUCAAACUAUCAUCACAAUCAACAUUUCUUCUAUCAUUUUGCUUUAAUAAGUUUAAAACCAACUUCCAUUCCAACAACGUGAAGUUGCUCCGUGCUGAAACCAUUCCAUCUGAAUCCAAUUCAAAUAUCAUCAAAACUAGGGUUUAUGUUCAGAAAGAGGUUAUCAAUGGAGAAAUUCUUCAACAAUCUUAUCUUGUUGAGUUUCUUCAUGACAACCGAAUAUGUGAACCAUGUAGUAGGGUUCAGGCUAAUCCUAGUCAAUCGGUUUAUGCUGUGCAAUUAAGGAAACAUCGUUCUCAUGCGCGUAGUUUUUUGUAUUUGGAACAUAUUAUUUUGAAGCAUGGUGUUGCUGCUAAUGCUGUGAGAAUCAAUAAGAUGAAACACGGUACUGAUUUCGAUUUCGCUGAUGAAGUUUGUGCUAAGAAGUUAGUUGAUUUCAUCAAGGGACUAAAUCCUGUGAAGAUUUGUGAGAGUAAGAGACUUGUUUCUCAUGAUAGGAAGAGUAGUUAUUACUGUCUUGAGUACACUUUUUUCGUUCAAGUUUGUUCCAUUUGUUCUGAGGAUUUGAUUUUUCUGCCUCCUUAUGUUGCUUGCCAUUUGGGAAAUAUCGGUCCCAUUGUGAUUUGUACCGAAGUUACCAACAUUGUUACUUUGUUUGAUCCGUUAACCUCGAAGCAGUGUUUGUUAGAUGAUAAUAUCUAUUGGAGGCAACCCUUCAAAUCUUUGCUCACUAGGAAAGAUUUAGUGGAAUAUGUUGUACUCAAUAUCCAUAAGGUUUUUAUCGAGGUUACUGUUAAUGGUAAGAAAUUCGGUUUAGCUAUUGCCGAGGUUGCUCGUGUGAAAGAUUUGGGAAAGAAUGAGACGAGAUUUAAUAUCAAGACUCAUCUAGGUCAUCUUUUGAAAAAUGGUGACCGUGCUCUUGGUUAUGACUUGUGCGGGGCUAAGUGUAGUGAUAGUGAUAUUGGAUUGAAGGAGCACAUAGGAGGUGGUGUGAUUUUAAUCAAGAAGAGAUCUGAAGAGAAAGUUUGCCAGAAGAGACGUGCAGAGCGUCAGUCGCACUUAAAAGAUUUAGAAAAAAUCACUAAUGAGGUGUUCGGCAUGUCAUUAGGCAGUGAAGAACCAACUUUGGAAGAGAAGCUGGGUGAUCUUGAUCUGUGUGGCGAGGAAUAUAAGGAGAAGAAGAAGGCGAGGAGGACGGCAUGAUCGAAUAAACAAAAGUAAUUUCUAUCCUGAUAAAGAAAUUUGCAUUUUUCUCUCGAAACUUUCAGCAUUUUAUGCAUUCUCAGCAUUUUACCGGAUCCUUUCAUAUACUUUCUUCUAUGCGGUAGAAAUCUUUAAAUUGCAGUUUAACAUGUAAGAAUCUAAUUGCAUUGGUUUGAUUUGUCUUUUAUGUAAUCUUUUAGAAUUCUGAAAUAGUUUUAUCAAGCAUUAUAUGUGCAAAGAUUUAUACCAAUACUGUUGUUUGUUGGUGCUCUUUCUCUUCUAGUACAUGUUGUUUUUGGCCUAAAGUAGCUCCUCUAGUUAGAGAAAGUUGAAGAAGUCACUAGUGUUGGAUUUGGAUUUUCUGUGAUGUUUAUGAACUGAAACAUAGACUCCAUUUAAGUUUUUGUGUUUUAGGUUCCAUCACUCUUCAUACUGAUUAAAAGUUUGGGAAAUUUGCUUUACAGUGAAAACUAGAAAUUUGUUAGUAUUAGAAGCUACUUAACUGUUACAUUCAUGUAGUGUCUUUAUGUUACUACAGUUGUAAUUUGCCAGUGAAAUGGAUUUGUCACUUUUACACGUAACUGUAGACAUCAUGGUUACGUUUUCUGUGUUUUAUACGAUUUGUAGGAUUGAGAAGUCAAAUGCAAAUUUUUUGGGACACUAAAAUAAAUUUGACUUAUAGUAAACGUACAAUUAUUUAUUGACAAAAAUCCGAAUGAGUUUUAUGAAAUAAAAUAAAAAAUAAUAAUAACACUGAUAAUAAUAUAAAAUUAAAUUAAAUUUUAAUUUUAGUGCUGAUUAUUGAUUGUCUCUAGGUAAAACAGUUGUUUGUUUGGGUAUAUAAUAUUUUGCGAGUAUUGAGAUUAAGGUUGUAAAUGAGUCAAAUUUAGUUAAGUUUUGUUUAAUCCGAUUCAAUAAGAAUUGAAUCAACUGAAAACUUAGUUUGAGUUAGUUAAUCUUUUUUUAAAAUUUAAACUCAAUUUGAUUAAAAUUUACGAAUAAUUCAAUUUGGCUAAUUAGUUCAAACGUGACCGAUUCAAUAGUUCAAAUAAAAUAGAAUAACAAGUUAAUUAUUAAUUUAAAAACGUUAAAAUUUUAACUAAGACCUAUAUUUUAUGAGUAGAUACACUGAUAGUGUAAAAUAAUUUUACACCAUCAGUUAAUUAUAGACGUCGAAUAUUAAAAAAAAGUUUGACUUUUAUUUUAAAAAUCUAUAAAGUAAUAUAAAUGGAUGAUGGUGAUGAAUCGACGGUAUAAAACUUUUUACACUGACAGUGUAUAGUAAUUAAUCUCUAAAAAAUUAAAAAAAAAUGUUUUAGACAAUUAUCGUUAGUUAAAGGGUUAAAAACUCUCCAUUAAUGAUCUCCUGUUCUUUUAGGUCUCAUUGUGCCAAGUCAUUUUAAAAUAAUUCAAUUGAGUUUGAUGCAACUUUGGAAAAACUCAUAUGGGACCCACAAUAAUUUAACAAAUAAACUAUCAAAUAAAAAUAAUAAUUUAAUAAGGACACAAAUUAACAUUACCCAUAUUAUUUAAUGAUAAAGUAUUAUAAGACAACGUUGCAUUGCAUUGUUGCAACUCCAAUCAACAGGAAACUGUAUGGUUCGUUUGCCACGCUGAAGCACUGCAUGAAAAAUCCACCGCUGGAGCUGCCCUAAAUGAUAAAUUAUGGUAAGUUAGUAAAUCUUUUAGAUAAGAGAAAGAAGAUAAUUGAUAUGGGUGUCUCAGACUCACGAAUCCACUUAUAUAAAUUGAAUAAAUUUACAAGAAUUGUUUAAUGCAUUUUAAGGAUGGCUUUCUCAAUUUACUAGAGACAAAUGAUGUGUCUAGAGACGCAUUUCCGAAAUUAUAAGGGUAUUUUUUUAUAGGGUGUUUUUCCACGUCUUAAGGUGGAAUUAGCAAUUCCUUUUACUAAUUAUUUGAAGUCAUUUAUUUAUGAUUAUAUUUGAUCAAACUUGCAUAAUUUUAGUUUGGAUAUUGCAUUAGUGUUUCUCAACCUGUGAAUCUGUUGACCAUACUAGUUGAUUUGAAAUUAGUGAUUUAUUAUUAGUUUAAAUAAAAAAAGAAAACUAGUAUAUGCCUAAAAACUAUUUUUUUAAUCCUAAUUGCUCACUCACCACCAAUAUUUCUAGUAUUCGAUCAAUAAAUUUAUGUAAUUUUAAUACUAAAAGUGAUUGCUAAUUUGCUUUUGUAUUAUUUCCAACUUAUGAAUUUUUAUAGAAAUGACUUGUUUUAUGGAAUUUGAUACUAUUAUUAAGUGUUAACAUAUCGAUGAAUUUUAUUUGACAUUAUACAAUGUGUUUCAUUGAAUUAUACUUUGAAAAAUUAUUCAAUUGUAUUGAAUUGUCAUAAAAAAAUUAGAAUUAAAAUGAAAUUAUAAAAAAAAGUAGGGUAUGAGUUUUCUUGUAGUUAUCAUGCCUGCCAAAACAAGCCUAUUAAUCUCCGGGUACCUGACCUCAACCUUGAACACUUUGCUCACAAAAUAGAUAGGUUAUUCCAUUUUGUCCUUCUCUUGUACGAUCACAAAACUCAUCACCUAGUUAGUAACAGAUAGAAGAUAUAAAAGUGUUUUGAACAUGUGACUCCAUACACAAUGGGGAAUGGGUGAAUUGUGGAGGUUUGGAAAAUGAUGGUUUAAAAUAAAAUUAUUUUCUAAAUCAGAGUUUAAAAAUAUUUUAAUGAAAAUGUUUGGAUAUGCAGCGAAAGUAAGGAUAAAGAAAAUAAGCGGGAAGUAAAAAGUUAAGGGAAAAUGGAAGACAAUAGAGAUUUAUUGAGGUUCAGUCUUAAAGUGGUAACUUACUACUCUCCCUAAGCAGUGACUUUGAGAGUAUCCAAUAAUAAUUGAGAACUUUUCAAAGGUUAAGCACAUGAAUCUCAUUACAUAAGGAAAAUGAAGUUACAGGUUAACCUCAAACCAAACAACGAACAAAGGAAUGAAGUAGUCGGUAUUCCUGCCAAACAACGAACACAACUUCGAGCAGUUAGUCUCUAACCUAAACUGAGGUUUUGUCAGGAUAAUAUUGAACCAAGUUUGAAUUUUGGUUGGCUAUCUUCUGAAUCGAACCAAUAUUUUACAUAGGUUGGCCACGUACCGAACCGAUAUUUUAUGUCGAGUUGAUCUCAAACCGGCUGAGUUUUUGUAUAGGGUUAAACUCAAGAACCGAUGUGAACAUUUUUCACUAGUUAUUUUUCACGAACCCAAAAGGAGAGCUUUUCUUCAAGUGGCGGAGCUCACGAACCAAACAAAGAUUUGCACUAAUUCCCCCCAAAAGCUUUUAUACAGGUUUAACUUUAAACCUAAACAAUAACUUCCUAAGGAAUAAUGAUUUACUUAAGAGAAAAAAGAACUCUUGGUAACUUUUAAAAAAUGCUCUUUCCCAAAACAACCUCCUUACUAAACUCAAGAACGUUUCUUAAAGUUUUAUGGCUAAAAGUAUGUGAGACAAAUAAAAAUAAUUUUGAGAGAGAGGAACGUGAUAUAUCUCACGUUUUUGGAUGUAUAAAAAUGAAGGGGAAGUCCUCUAUUUAUAGGACAAGAAAUUGUUCAAUUUAGGAAACAAUCCUUGGGCAAAAUUAUCAUCAUUUCAAAUCAAUCCACUAAAACCUAAGACUCCGAUAUUACCGAGUCUACUUCCAUCAACAUUCAAAAUCAUAUUACUACCUUUGUGUGCAUUUCACGUGAACGUUCUCGUUGGAUGAGACAUAUUAGGUUUGAGUAAACAUUUAGCUAACAUAUUAGCAUAAUUCACUAUAAUGAGUUUCAUAUUAUAGGAAGAUACCACUUCAUUUGCAAGACAUUGUUUGUUCCUAGCGCGCCACAACCACCAGAAAACAUCCAAAGAGAUAGAAUCAUUGUUGAUGCCAUGUCUAAUCCAAUCAUGUAAACUACCCCCUUGAAAUAAGAGUAGGUCCAAUAAGCCAUUAAAUUUUCAAAAGUGAGUAGAAAAUUCACAGUUUCUCAAGCAGUGUAGAGUCAUCUCAGCGUCUUUAUUGUAUCUAGGACAAAAAUUCAUUUGGAGCAUUCAACGAUGACACAAAAUUGAUCUCAUAGGAAGGGACUUAUAAAAAGUCGUUCAAAUGAUGAAUUUCACCUUCUAAGAAGCGGGAAUGUGCCACACCCACUUCCAAGAGUUAUUUUCUAUUGUAUUCUGAACUAAUUCAAGUUUGUUGAGCCAAUUAUAACCAUCAUGAGCAAUAUAGAUAUCGUCUAAAUUGCCUUUUCAGGUUAAACGGUCAAGAAUCAGAGAAUUCAAAUAAAUAGGAAGCUCUUUUAGGCAGUCACAAACAACCGCAAAAAUAUUAGUAUAUAAUGAAUUGAAGUUCCGAUUUUCAUCCCAGUAAACAUCAUUCACUCGCAUUUCUUGAUCAUGGAUAUCCACAUAGAGAACCUUCUCCGCUAAUUUCCAUAUCUCAAACCAAUUGGAAAACCAUAAAGAGAAGUUUAUAUCCCUCAAUCUAAAUUCAAAUCCAUCUUUAAGAGUUGAGAGAGCUUUCAUAAUCCCAUUCCAAGUAAUUGAUCCUAAUUUCUUUUUCAUAUUAAGGAACAUUUCCUCACUGAUGUACCUAUGCUUCAAAACAUGGACCUAUAUGGAAUCACAAUCCUGAUGGAGAUCACAAACCAACUUUCCCAUAGAGGUAUUGGCCUCUCUUGCUUUCCAGAUCCUAAGACCAACCAUAUUUCUGAGCUUAAUGAUUUUAUUCAAGCCAACGAGAUGUACACCAGAGUUUGAAUUACCUUUCCAAAAAAAUUCUUAGUCAUCUUAUAAAUAAAAUCAAAAGUUGGUUGAGGUAGUCAAGUCAUUUGCAUAUAAUUAUUUGUAAUGGAGUUCAGGACAAACCUAACUAGAGUCAAACGACCAUCCUAGUUUAACAAUUUAUGUUUCCAAGAUGAUAACCUCUGACUGAUUUCUCCUCUAUGAACUCAAAGUCCUUGUGUUGAAGACGACCAUGAGACUUAGGGAAACUUACGUACUUAUCUAGAGUAAGAGUUUGCUUGAUACCUGUGUUGGAGACAAUUAAAUCCAUUUUACUCCUGUUAGUGGUAGCGGAGAAGAACACCUUUGAUCACUAGUAGAAAACUAGAAAUUAGAUGCCCAAAUUUAGCGUCGGCCAAACUAACAAAGAUUUGACUUUUUAAAGUUGACUUUAGACGCGGCCAGACCGAAGCUAGUUGUAUGGUUGAGUUUUAUUUACAUUUGUGUUUUAGCAUUGGUUGUAAGUUAGCCUCGAUGUAGACUCGAUUAAACCAACGCUAUUAUAGACACGACAAUAAAUAACCGACGAUAACGUCUUAACUUCGAAUGAUUUAUAUUACCCCUAAACACCGGCGCUAAACAGGUUAUAGCAUCGGUUUUUUAGUGUGUAGCAUCGAAAACUAGCUGACGCUAAAUACUAUUUUUCUAGUGGUGGAUUUAGCAACGUUCACUUUAAAGCCAGAAAAUAUGGCAAAAUGAUUCAAAAUAUCAGAAAUGAUCCCUGUCUGCGAGUUAGAAACCUUUGUAAAACGAAGAACAUCAUCCGUAAAAAAAUAAAUGCGAUAGAGGGGUCCAUUACAAGAUAACUUGACAGGUUUUCAACGGCCUUCAUUGACUAGGGUUAUUAAAAAAAAAGAUGAACUGAACUGAACCGCCUGAACCAAGUUUAAAUUAAAAUAACUGAACAGUUAUGUUUGGCUAGUGAAAUAAACCAUAUUUCAGAAACAGUUCUAGAAUCGAACCAUAUAGAAAGUAAACCGAACCAAAAUUGAAACUGAACGGAAACUAAAAAUAAAAAAUACUAAAAACAAUUUUAAAUUAAAAAAAAAAAUAGUUCAACGACUCGUUUCUUUAACAAAUGGUUUAGUUUGAGAAAAAUUAUUUUCUAACAGUUUAAUACGACUUGGAAUUUAGAAAUACCAAAUCAAUAAUUUUGGUUUGGUUCAGUUCUGAUUAAAUUGAAAUGGUUCGUGUGAAUUUUUACUAUGAUUUGAUUCAGUUCGAUUUAGUUCAAUUUUCUCACUAAACUGUAUCAUGAACAAUCCUACAAACAACAAAGAGAUAAGAUGAAAGGAGGUCACUUUGCCGUAAUCAUCUAGUAGGAGCCGUCUCCUCUACUAUUGAAUAAAAGUACUGCUCCUCCGACAUUAAUUAUAAAAAAGAUAUAAAAAAUUACACUUAUUAAUAAUGAUAGUUUAAUAUAUUUAAUUUUUUUUGAUUUUCUCUUUAUAUACAUUAAUUUACUCUUAAUUAAUUUAAUCCAUUUAUAAUUUAAUACAAGAAAAUAAAUUUAUUGAGAUUUAUUUAUACUUAAGGUAAAGAAAUUAAAAAAAAGAGUUUUACUUAUAAAUAAGAUUGGAGUAAGGUCCAAGCAAUAGAAACCCUAGAGAAGCCUCAACUAGUAUGUAGCAAGAACACCUCCUUCGCUUUUUGAAUCUCGAAUUUUCCUCUUUUUAACUCUGUUUUCCUUUUCUAUAAUCUCGAUUUCAAAUAGAUCAACAACACCUUUUUCUUUUCAUCAAUGGAAGAAGACGAUGUUAAAUGUUUGGGAUCAAAAAACGAUAUCACAUUAGGGUUACGUAAGAAACUCUAUCUCCUACAUUGCCCCCAAUGCAAAACCUACUCUGAGCCUUGCAAAUCAGGGAUACAAUCAAAUCAGCUUCUAGUUUUUUGUUUAAAAUUACUAGAAACAAAUCUGAGUUCAAACAAUGCGAGAUUGGUUGGUUCUCAAACAGUUCCAUCUCAACCCGAUUCAAAGAUUAUCAAAAUUAGUGUUACUGUUCAGAAACAGGCUAUCAAUGGAGAAAUUCUUCAACAAUCUUAUCUUGUUGAGUUUGUUCAACGCAACCGUGUCUGUGAAUCUUGUACAAGUCUUCAGCCUGAUCAUGAUCAAUGGAAUUCUGUUGUGAAAUUAAGACGACAUGAUUGUCCCAUGCAUAGUUUCUUUUGGUUGGAACAUGCUAUUUCAAAGUAUGGUCUUGCUGUUAAUGCUGUGAAAAUCAAUGAUAUGAAACACUGUAUUGAUUACUUUUUCGCCAACACAAUUCAUGUUAACGAACUUCUUGAUUUUAUCAAGGAACGAAAUCCUGUGAGGAUUUCUGAGAGUAAGGAACUUGUUUCUCAUGAUACAUAUGAUUAUAGAUACACUUGUUUUUCGGUUCGAGUUUGUCCUAUUGGUUCUCAGGAUUUGAUUUUUCUGCCACCUAAAGUUGCUUCCAGUUUGGGCAAUAUCGGUCCUAUUGUUAUUUGCACCGAUGUUGCCGAUUUUAUUACUUUGUUUGAUCCGUUAACCUUGACGGAGUGUUGCUUAGAGGGUGAUAUGUAUUGGAGGACACCCUUCAAGUCUUCGCUCACUAGGAAAAAUUUAGUGGAAUAUAUUGUGCUCGAUAUGAAGGAUGUUUUUUCAGAGGUCACUAUUGAGGGUAACAAAUUCGGAUUAGCUAAUGCUGAGGUUGCUCGUGUGAAAGAUUUGGGAAAGAAUGACACGAGAUUUAGUAUCAAGACUCAUCUAGGUUAUGAUUUGAAAGUGGGUGAUUAUGCCCUUGGUUAUGACUUGUGGGAGGCUAAUUGCAGUGAUAUUGAGAUUGAAUUGAAGGAACAGAUUCGAGAUUGUGUGAUUUUAAUCAAGAAGACAUAUGCAAUGAAACGCCUGAUGAAGAGAUGCGCAGAGCAUAUGUUCUACUUAAAAGAUCUAGAAGAGAUCACUAAUGAGGUGCCCGGCAUAUCACUUGGCGGUGAAGAGCCGCCUUUGGAGGAGAAGCUGGGUGAUCUUAAUCUGUGUGGCGAGGAGGAAUAUAAGGAGAAGAAGAAGGUGAGAACGAUGGCAUGAUCGAAUAAACAGAAGUAAUUUCUAUCCUGAUAAAGAAACUUAGUGAAUCUUUCUUUUUAGUUUAGGUUGUUUUAGUUUGCAUUUACUCUUGAAAUUGAGUACUUUUCUUUUUAAUAAUUUUCAGGAACUUUAUAGAGUACUUUUCUUUUUAAUAAAAUGAGAAAUUUGAAAUGCAACCUAACCAUUUUUAUUAUUGUUAUGAUUCUUAAUUUCUGUUCUGUGUGAGCCAAGUCAAUACUGUAAUUGUUGGGUACUGAUCUUCUCCUAUGUGUUAGAAACCUUAAAAAUGCAGUUUAACAGAUAAGAAACUGAUGUGCAUUGGUUUGAUUGUCUUGUAUGUAAAUCUCUUUUAGAAAUCUGAAAUAGUUUUACCUUUUUAUGGUUUCAUUCAUGUGUUGAAUUGGAAUAUUUUGUGGAUUUGUUAUUUAAUAUAGAUAGUUUACUUAGAGAAAGCCAACUAUUAGGACCAUUGAUAGCCAAGUUGAUGAGAGAUUAACAACUUGUUAUCGAGGAUUAUGUGCAAUGAUUUAUACCAAUAUUAAAAUCAAAACUAUUAAUGUUCUAAUUUCUUAAUUUCUUCACACUCAAAUUGUAAAGAUAGAGAUGAUGAAUGCUAGUUCUGUGUGUUACGUUCAAAGUUGAGAGAAAACAUAUAAAGCAGAAGUUAUCUAUGGGUGACAUUAGAAACAAUAUAAUGCUACAUUGUUGGUGUUCCAUUAGAUAUGUUAUACUAUAUAGGUCAAGACAUUGAAGAAUUAGGCGGAACUUUCUACCGUUUUAAUUUGCCAAAUGUGUAUGUAAAAUGGAUUUGUCACUUUUACUCUUGCUUGUAGACACCAUGGUUACAUUUUCAUUGUUUUUAUAUACUUCCUCUUGGUCCCAGAGAAAUUUUACUUUUAGUUGGUUCAGUGGUGAUUAACGCUAGAUUUGAUAGAGAUGACCAUAAUUCGAUUUCUGCAAUUGUGAUCGAUAAGGAACCGAAACCAUUUGAUGGUAGAAUUGACCUCCCAACCGGAUUAGUCGAUCCAAUGAAUCGAAUAUUCGUAGUAAGUAAAAACAAAAGAUAGUUUUUUCUUAUAAAUAGAACCCGGAGGGAGUAUAUGAUUUGUUGGAAGAGGAAGACAAAUGCAACUUUUUUUAAUACUAUGGUUGCAAAUGAGUCGAGCUUUGUUCAGUUUAACAUGACAAAAUUGGAAUCAACUUGAAAUUUGGUUCGAGUUUGUUACAUAUUUUAUUUUCUAGCUUAAAUUUCACUCGACUAAAGUUCAUGAACAAUUCGAUUUGGUUAAUUAAGUCGAAUUUGAUCCAAUUCAAUAAUUCAAAUAAAAUGGAACAAAACAAGUUAAUGCUAAAUUGAAAAAAUUAAAAGUUUAACUAAAUAUUAUAUAAUUGAAUGAAGUGGAACAAAGCAUAAGGAAUAAAAAUGUCAUUCUAUUGUUUAAAUAUUUUAAGAUGAAAUAAAACAAUUUUUUCAUUCGACCAGAAUUAGAGGAUAUAAAAAAUGAUGGAAAGUGAUGAAAUGAGAUGUGAAUAUAUAUUUCAUCCGAUUCCGUUCCAUAUCAUUCUUUUUUAAUUAAUCCAAACAAUGAAACAUAAAUAUAUUGAUCUUCAAAUUUGUUACAAUUUUUUUUUAACUCAAAUUCAACUCGAUUAAAAUUCAUGAACAAUUAUGUUUGGCUAAUUAGUUCGAAUUUGGUAACAAAAUGAAAUAAAAGAAUUGAUUAUUAAUUAAAAAAACUUUUAACUGAAGAUUAUAUAAUUUAUGAGUAAACUAGCAAAAUAGUCUUGUACAACAACCCAAUUAUAAAAAUUAAUAAAAAGAAUUAAUUAAAAUUAUAUUAGUACAAGAAAAAGUAGAUUAACAAAAAUUUGGAGAAAAAUGAGUAUUUACCAUUAUUUGAGUUUAACUUAUAAAUUUUCUAUCAUUAUCUAAUGAUAAAUUAGUGACACAAUUACACCAGAGAUCCUUUAAGUUGUUUUUUUAAAUAGAUUGGUCCUUUAAGUUUUUUUUAACAAUUUGAUCAUUUAGGGUGAUUUCUACAUUAUUUUUCUCAUAUUUUGAACAUUUAGAAAUGUGUGACUGUUGUAUUUUUUGGUUGCACUUCAUCAUUUUCAUACCACUCAAUAAUUUCAUAUAUAAUUAGCACAUUCACUCUAUUAAAAAACGAUAACGAUGCACACGUUUGGUAACUUAAAUGAUCAAGCUGUUACAAAAAAAACUUAAAGAAUCAAUUUGUUAAAACAAACUUAAAAGAUCUCUGGUGUAAUUUUGCUUAAGUUAGUAAAUAUUUUAAUAGAUAAGAGAAAGAAGGUAAUUGAUUGUAGAGGGUGCACCAGAAGUUAUCACAUGACGUAUAUAAGUUAGAAGAGUGGGAUGACAUGCUUGUUCUCAGAACUUGGAAUUUAGUGAAUCUAAGAUAUUAUUAUUGUUAACUUUUUAUUAUUUCUUGUUGGUCAAAUAGGGCGAUGGCAUUUAUUCUGUAUGAGUUCUCAAAACUCAUUCACUAAAUAAUAGAGGUAAGGUGGCAUUAUUUUUGCCUAUAAAGGCAUACAUUUUUAAUGAGGUGUCCUAUUUUUUUAACCUAGUGGUCUUAUAAUUUUUUUUCUUCAUAUUUUGUUGGAUCCUGAUAUGGAGUCUUUGCCAACUCAUCAGGCUAUUUUGUUGGAUCAUUAUAAGGAAUCCUGACCCCCUCAUUAUGCUAUUUUGUUGGAUUCUGAUAAGGAACCCUUGCUGCCUCAUUAAGCUAUUUUAUUGGAUUCUAAUAAGAAAUCCUUGUCACUUUGUUAAGCUAUUUUGUUGGAUUCUAAUAAGGAAUCUUUGUCAUUUUGUUAGGCUAUUAUGUUGGAUUUUGAUCCUAGCCUCCUUAUAGGUUAUUACGCUAAGGAGUCAUGAUCGCUUUACUAAGCUACUAUCUUAAUGAGGAUUUGAGAUCAACUAAAAGAAUACAUAAGUAAGAGGAAAAAAUAACAGAACAUCGUUAAAACAAAAUUAAUAGACAUACGACUCAAAGGCAUUAACUUUAUCAUUAAAAAAAACCUCUAACAAGGCGACAUUGCAUGUACAAUACAAAAAUCAUAAAAAGAACUUAAAGGUUGGAUAUAAUGGUCUCACCGUCCACUAACCCAUCCCCGUGAGCAUUUGUGUUCUACUUAAUUGGAAAGUUUUCCUCAUAUGCAGAGGGAGUCACUUAUAGGUUGGGAUCAUUCUCCUCAUCCAGCAGCUGGACAUCCUUGACAACUUUGAGCUCAAACUCGCCUAGAUCCAAGUUAGGGUAGAUGUGAGAUAUUUACUUACACCUUGGCUUUCUUAAAGGCCUUAUCAGCAACAUCAACUAUCUACCCCUUCACAUCGACUAGACCUUCCUCUAUCCUCUUUUUAGAAGGGCCUCUUUCUUGGUGACGGUUUCCUUCAGUGUUUCAUGCUCGACUUUCACUUGGGAAAGCUCCUCGCCAAGCUUUUUGGCAGCUUCAUAUUUCAUCGUAUGCGACUUUUUCAUCAUGUAAAUAGAGCGUUGCAUCUCAUCAUUGGACUUCAAAGAAUUAUGGGUUUUUGUCAGCAUUUCCCGUAUGGUAUUUAUCCUGGUCUUAGGAUCUGCAACAAAUCUAUCUGACUCAUUGUAUGCAUCAAACAUUAAGCACUCCAACAAGAGCCCAUAAGCAUAGGUAUCUCUAUCAAAUUAAACAUCUGCCCAUACCCCAAAUGAGUCCCAAUCUUGUGGUUGUUAGGCAUGUUUACUAGAAUGUUUAAAUGCUCCCACACAUAACUCUUGGCAUCAAAGUCUCCAUUCUAGAGGGACGGUCCCUUGCUCCCUGAAUGGGUUGAGUAAUUGGUUAAUUUCAAGGGUGUUCCGUCAAGUUUCAUAGUUUCUUGGGUACCCAAGUGUCAUCGGGAUGGACAUCUUUAUGUUUUUGGCCCUGAGUCGGAGAUUUAUCCCCUUCAGCUAGACCAAACUUGAUAAUCUUCAGGGGCUUAUGCAAAGGACGGUCUCCCUUUCAUCCAAUCUCAUUUUUCCUUUCCCUAACAAGCCUCCAAGGUGACUCUUAGGGUCCUUGGACCACUUACUUCCCCGCUCAUAUUUCUUCCUAACGUGAAGGGCAUUCUUCUAGGCAAUAGUCAUUGGAUUCAUCCUCCCUACAAACAAAGAUACAAAUGUUAGUCAAAGUAAAUAUUUCAACUACAACAACCAAACAAAUAUCAAACUUACACAAAUAAUCGCCAAUCUUCUUCUCAUUGCCAUUGCUUUGAUCGUACUACACAAUUUCCCUAGAGCUCAUAAUACGAAACUCCUCCAAAAUCUCGAGAACAUCCAUCUCUGUCUCGCUCAAGAAGUCAUGGUUGAAGCCAUUUAUUUGCACAUGGUCAUUUGUCCAGUACUGGGAAAAUCAAUUUUCAUCGAUCUCCUCAAACAUCACCAUGGAACUGUUGUCUCGCACUCGUACUCUCACAAACAUAUAUUUCCCAUUCUUGUAGUGUUUUUAAUGAGAGGUGAAAAGAACCCUUCCAAGUAAAGCACCUAGGGUCACCCAGUCUCCAGUUCUUGCCUUCUUAGUGUCGUUGAACAAAAAUAAUGUUGAACAUGUGACUCCACACGAUAGAGGGGGGUGAAUUGCAGGGGUUUGAAAAACCUUGGAUUAAAAUAAAAUUAUCUUCUAAAUUGGAGUUUAAAACAUUUUCUAAAAAGACGUUUGAAUAUGCAGCAGAAAUUCAAGAUAAAGAAAAUAUGUAAAAAGUAAAAAAUUAAGGGAAGAGAGAUAACACCAGUGAUUUAUAGAGGUUCGGUCUAAAUGAAGUAACCUACUCCUCUCCCCCAAGAAUUGAUCUUAAGAGUAUCCAGUAAUGCUUGAGCUUUUUUAGAAGGUUAAACCCACAAAUCCCCUUAUACAAGGAAAAGUGAAGUUUCAGGUUUACUUUUGACCAAUCAACGAAUAGUGGAAAGAAGCGUAUAGUUUUCAUGGCAAACAACAAAUAAUGCUUCGAGUGGUUAGUCUCUAAGCCAGGCGGAGAUUUUGUACAUACUUAUCUUGAACCAAUGUGGAGUUUUGAAUUCGAUAUUCUCCAAAUCGAUAUGAGAUUUUACACAGGCUGGCCACAAAUCAAAGAGAGAUUUUUACCGAGUUGAUCUCAAAGCUAUUGAGCUUUUAUACGGUUUGAACUCAGAAACCGAUUCGGAUUUUAUAUCGGGAAAAUCUCAAACCGUUGUGAAUAUUUUUCUCUGGUUAUUCUUCACGAACACAAAUGGAGAGGUUUUCCUUAUGUGGUUGUACUCAAGAAUCAAACAGAGACUUAACACUAAAUCCCCCCAAAAGAGAUUUUAACAGGUUUAGCUCCAAACCUAAACAAACACUUCCUAAGUGUCAUACCCCAAAAUUUGCCUCACUUUUUUCAAUUUCGUUUGGCUUAUUGCUCAUCUCAUAUGCAUAAUUCACAUGUCCUAAUCAUCCAUCAUAAUACAUUCAUUUACAGUUGCAUCUUUCAAAUAAUAUCCUUGAUUCAAAGUUUUUUUGUUAUUUAAGAUACAAGGCACUAAAUUAUGGUUUGAAAGAUUAUGGUGAGUAUACUUUAUCUUAACACUGUGGAUUGUGGGCACAACAAAUUGGUGAUUGAUCUUGGUUCUUUGAGCUAAGUUCUCAGGGAAACCCUAAUCCUUGAUUUUGGUUGACUAGUCAUUUUAGCUACACCAUGUCAUUGAAAUUUAGGGAGUCAUUUUCAAGUCUUGAUUCUAGUCUCUGAAAUUAAGGGUUAACUUUUGUUAUCCAUUUUCAUUCUUAUUUGGUGAUCAUAUUUUACUUGUUGUUGAUUCAUGGCAUGAUAUGUCAUCCAAGAGAUCAAGAGCUCUCAAAUUCAAGGUCAUAUUCAAGUACAAAAUCAUGUUCAAGAUUCAAGAUCAUGGAGGAAAGGCAUGUUAUUUAACCUACAAUACACAAUUCAUUCAAAAUAACAUCGUUUUCAUUACAAGUCAUCAGAGCAUUCAUUACAACAUCCAAAACCAAGUUUACCAAUCCAUACAAAACUAUACACAUUUUUGACCUAGAGUUGACUCUGGUCAACAAUUGACUUUUUGAUCAACAGUUGACCAAAGUUAAACUAACUACCCUAACCCCUAAAUCUAGUUUAGUUUUCCUUUCCAAUAUUUUUUUCAUUUAUGCCAUGAUUUUCCAAAAGCCUUCAUGAUCCAUUUGGUUCCAUGCCAAUUUUGGUACAUGUCUUCAAACCUUGCCACCACCAUACAACCUGCAACAUCAAAGCCAAAUAACAUCAUCAUCACACUUGCAAAACAGACCAAGAAUACGAGUUAUGAUGCAUUGCACACACAUAGUCAUACACAUAUCUAUCAUAUACCAUAGCCCCAAAUCAACACAAUCUAAUUGAACCUAACCUUUUUUUUUCUCAUUUGAAAGUCAUACUAACAAUCACAUUCGAUAAUAUCUACUGACGGUUGUUAAGGUCACUAACUUCAAGCAUAUGUAACAAUUAGCAACUUCGUAAGAUCAUAACAAUUCAAAUCACAUUUUGACACCAGUUCUUAGCAGUUCCACAACAUCUCAACAUUGCAUUUCAUUUCUAGUUUGAAACCACUAAUAGUGAACAUACAUGACAAGUUUAAUUUCAUAGGUUUAAUUGAUGUCUUUAGCUUAACAGAUCAUUCAUAUAGCUUAGUUGCAUAGUUAACAUCUCAACAUUACAAACACAACCAUGAUAGUUCAAACAAUUCACACUAAACAGUUAGAAUAGCACUCACAUGGCAUUUAAGUUAGUCCCUAUGGACUGGUGCAACAUCAAUUCUAAUAUCCUUCUAACAAUUCAUAACAUUAACUACAAUCAUUCCACUAACCUUCUAAUUGUCAAACCAAAUCCAUAGUCUCAUAACAACUAACCUUCCAAUUACUAAUCCAAACUAACUCUCACUAAAACAGAAUUAAAAAAAACGACUCCUUCAAUCACUUGCUAACAUUGCUAACCUCUUAACUGAAUCCAAAAACUAAUUAAUAGUUGCUAGUUCACUCACUAACUUCAAAUUCAAAAUAGUUAACAGUCCACAAAUACUCAUUAAUAUUCAGUUCACUAUUAUUUUUCGAAUUUACCAAUUGUCAAAAUAAAAUCACUAACAGAAAAAACACUAAGUCCAAAUUGAUUAACAUAGAAAAAUAGUUCAGCAUAUGCUUCAUAAUAGUAAAAACUAAAUAAAAUUCAUAGUAGUUCAAUCCACCAUUAACAACUAAUCAUCAAACCUGCAUAAUCAGUUAACAUAACUAAUUCACCACUUAUUCUUUUCCUAUAUAGCUAACAAGUCGAUUCAAUCGAUUUUUAACUAAACCAAUCUCUUAACUUGUCAUUUCAACUCAUAAAUCUAAAUUUCCAUUGACCAAACCAACUCGUAUAACCCACCCUAACAAUUCCUAACACAAACUAGUUUAACCUAACUGUCAGCUAAGUUAUUUCACCAAUUUCGAAUUCUUGCCAUAACUCUAAGCUAAUUUCCAAAUUCAAACAACAACCUCUAACCAUUUCUCAUAAAAGCUAACUAACUUCAAAUUCAAUUCAUCACUCGCCACAUUUCAACUAACUAAACUAAUCCAUUAACUCUCAAGUUCAAAUUCUAACUUCAAUUAACUGCUAAUUGAUGCCCUAACGUGAAACAAAACUUGCCCUAAAGCUUGCCCGAUUCUGUUAUAACUCUAAUCUAUAUAAUCCUCACCCAUCUUCAACAAUCAACAACAAUCACACUUUACACAAUUCAUCAUUCUGUAUGCAUUCAUUCUCCUUCCUCACCACUCACCAAAAGCUCAAGUUCCAUCAUUGAUGAGCAAGUUUCACCUUGAAGCUUGCUACAACUGAGCUCAACCUCUACUAUACUUUAUACUCCCCAAGGAACAACAUCAACAAUAUCAAAAAACCCAUCUCCUACAGACUACAUGAAGAACAAGAAGAAGUUAAUAUCAAAAGAAGUUAAGGAGUGCAUCAUUUACCUGGAUACACAUCUCACGUCUUCUGAUAGGGAAAAGAUGGAGAAUGUAGAGAGAGAGAGAAUAGAGAGUAGAGAUAGGAAGAGAGAAUUUCAUUUAUUCAAUAAAAGCAUACAUGGAAUGGUUAGUUUCUAACUAUUUAUAACUGUCAAAAGCAGUUAUAACAACCCAAACUAACUAAAUAUAACUGUCUAAGCAGUUAUAACUAAUAUAUGCAUCAUAUCCCGCCCCUUAAAAUCUUCCUUGUCCUCAAGGAACAACUGUAACAUCAAAAUAAGGAAAUUGGAGUUUGAGUUUGUAUAGCAACUCCCAAGUAGCCUCUUCCAUAGCCUCUCCUUUCCACUGAAUCAAAACCUCAGUAACCGCCCUAUUGUGCCUCUGAAUGGAGCGCCUCUUCAAAAUCUUAAAUGUCAAAACCUCAGUAACCGCCCUAUUGUGCCUCUGAAUGGAGCGCCUCUUCAAAAUCUUAAAUGGUUCCUUAGGAUCAUCCAAACUGCCCCACUCCUCAGGAAGUGCAACCACGGGAAUGUUCUCAUCAUGUCACGGUUUCAAAAGAGAUACAUGGAAUGUAGGAUGAAUCCGCGAAGUAGAUGGAAGAAUCAAGGUGUAUGCAACUUUUCCCACCCUAUGCAACACCUGAUAAGGACAAUAAAACCGAGGAGAAAGCUUUUCGGAAGCACGAUAUUGAGCAGAAGCUUGUCUAUAGGGCUGUAACUUUAGGAAAACCCAAUCUCCUUCCUUAAAUUCCCGAUCACUACGAUGUUUAUCAGCCUGUCGCUUCAUACGUGCUUGAGUCCGGACCAAAUUACCCUGUAAUUUCUGGAUCAUUUCUUCCCUUACAAUGAAGCUUCGAUCGACUGCCUCGACCUUGGUACUUUGAGGGAAAUAAGGAAGAUGCAGUGGUGGUGCUUGGCCAUACACAAUCUCAUAAGGGGUAGCUUGAAUAGCGGAAUGGUAAGUGGUAUUGUACCACCACUCAGCCAAAGGUAACCAAUUGACUCAUUCCUUAGGCCGCUGCCAUGUCAUAGCCCGCAAGUAAUGUUCUAAGCAACGGUUCAAGACUUCGCUUUGACCGUCCGAUUGAGGAUGAUAAGCUGUCGUUAAGCUCUGUGAAAUGCUCAACUGACCAAGAAAAGAACCCCAAAAUUUACUUGUAAAUAAGGGAUAUCUGUCACUUACGAUGUUGGCGGGUGCACCAUGUAACUUGUAGAUUUUAGCAAUGAAAAUUUCAGCUAAUUUGGAUGCAGUAAAAGGGUGAGCAAUAGGGAUAAAAUAGGCAUAUUUGCUUAGCCUAUCGAUAACUACCCAAAUCGUGUCUUUAUCAUGAGAUUUAGGAAGCUUUUCAAUGAAGUCCAUGGCUAUACUUUGCAGCACUCCCUCUGGGACUGGCAGGGGCUGAAGUAAACCCGCAACAGCUCUUGGUUCAUACUUGCAUCGAAGGCAAGUCUCACAUUGCUGAAUGAACUUUGUGACAUCCUUGGCAAGGCCUUUCCAAUAAAACAUGCUCUUUAUCCUUGCUAUAGAAGCCCUGAUACCUGAGUGGCCUCCUUGACGUGAAGAAUGAAGCCAUUGUAGAAUCACUAGCCGCACUUGUCCAUCAUUAGGAAUGACCAACUUCUGUUUUCUAUACAGCAAAUUAUCCAAAACAGAAAAAUGGGGAUGCAAGGCUGGAUUAGAGAGAACCUGCAGCUUGAGACCCUGUAAAGCUGAAUCAUGCUCAUAGCUCUUAAAAAGAAAAUCCCAUAACUCAGAAGAAAUAGAAGAAACAGUCAGUUGUAAAACUUCACCGUGAGAGGCUCUAGAUAAUGCAUCUGCAGCCACAUUAUCCUUACCCUUCUUAUACAUAAUUUCAUAAGAAAGACCCAUGAGCUUAGUGACCAAUCUAUAUUGGGCUGGAGUAGAUAGACGUUGCUCCAAUAAGUACUUCAAACUGUGCUGGUCAAUAAGGAUAGUAAAUGUGUUCAGGGAGAGGUAUUGGUGCCACUUAGAGACUGCAUUAAUGCCAAUAAUUCCCUGUCAUAAACUGACAAAAGCCUAUGUUUAGGAGAUAAAACCUUGCUAAUAAAAGCCACAGGGUGCCUGUCCUGCAUUAGCACAACACCAAUUCCAGUGCUUGAAGCAUCUGUUUCAACUACAAAUGGCUUUUGCAUAUCAAGGAUGGCCAACACCGGGGAAUUACUCAAAGCAUCUUUCAAUGUAGUGAAGGCGGUGUGUGCCUUUUCGGGCCAAUGGAAAGAAUCCCGCUUGAGUAAAUCAGUAAGAGGAGAGGCAAUAAUACUGUAACCUUUAAUGAACCGCCUGUAGUAACCCGUCAAUCCCAAAAAUCCCCUCAAUUGCUUAACUGUUCGAGAAUAUACAAUCAAUGAGAUUGGUCCAUUACGAGGAUCGCAGAGGGUUGAUACCAGUCUACCUUUAUCGAAAACGUUCACUCCUUUCAAUGUGCACUUAUCGAAGUUCUCGCGGAAGUAGGCCGUUUAAACCUAUAUUUUUCUGGGCCUACAUUGGAACGUUGAACAUCUCCAAGUUUACAUCCGUUGCGUGUCGUGAUAAAGUAAAUCAGUGAAGAGGAGCAGAGACAUAUCCAAUUCCAUAUAUAAACGUAUGACAUCUAGUAGACCUCUUUUAUUAAUGAACCGCGCCUGGGUAGUAAGACGUACUAACAAGAUCUCUAAGAACCGUCUAUUUCAUAUUUUCUAAAAUUACAGGGCAACGCUCCCUGACCACAGAACUUCGACACAAGUCUACCAUACUUUGCUCCUCCUACAGCAUGGGGCGUUGUAAUGGUCAAUUCUGUUAUUAGGAUGGGAUGUUCACAGAGCAAUCUCAUACAGCAAUUCCAUUUCUACCACGCUUGAGCAACCUUAAUAAUAAUCGUGAGAUAUAAAAUGAAUCUAGAUGGUCUAGCUCCCGGAGUACGCUUACCUUAGAUAUAGCUGUGUAACCAAUGAAAUGAACUAGUAUUCGAUCCGGUGUAGUGAAAUUACGCACACUUUUACAUUUUUCUCUUCAAUAUCAAAUAGCAACAAAAUAAUGCUCCGUUGUAGAUCUAUAUGAGGAUCAUCUGUGACAUAAUAUCGAGAGACGCAUUUCUAUAUAUGCGUCUCUAUCAUGUGCAAAUACUCUUGCCUGUGGUUUGGCUUGUUCUGAUUCUGGAGGUCCUUGACCAACGAUUUGGGCCUCCACGUUCCUUGCUCUCCCUACAUUGUUAUUGUUUAUUAGGAAUGCUCCUUCUGGCUUGUUUGUUGAUUUGUCCUUAAGGGACAAUCUUUGAGAAAAUGGCCCUUUCUGACCAGCAACGAAAAACAGCCUCCAAUAUUUCUAUUGACAAUUUUUGUUAAGAUGUGGCCCCUUCCAAAUGUCUUGUAACACUUGAACAUUUAACCUCCUAGAAUCCUGGUUAUGAUAUGGUGUAGGCCUUUGAUAUGGCCUACCCCUUUGUUUCGGGGAGAUUGGAUCCACAUGUGUCCCUUUCCCUCACCAUAGGACUCGGGUCGGUUAAAAUAUAUGUGGCACCCUCCGUGAGUUAUGAAAUGUUCUGAGUUUUCCAGGAUAUGAAGAAUGUAAGUAAUACACACUUCCCUCCAUAGUAAUUCCAUUAUUCCCGAAUAAAUAUACCCACUAGUUUGUGUUCAUAAUUCCUUGUCGCCAACUCCAAUAGACAAAUCAGUUUAUGACUUGCGAGUCUCACCAAAGGCGCAUAUAUUGCAAUUGAAGUAGGAACAACCGUCCCUCUAAUACUCUCAAUAUUAUUAAAGAUCAUCACACUCGCUAAGAAUUAUACCAUUUAUCUCACGACGAUCCAUUCCUUCUUGGAUGCAGCGGUUAAAAUUCAGAAUACUUUAGCAAGGAUUUAAACUUCCAUAGUAUACUCUCCACCGUCAAUUACUCAUAGCAUGCGUUUGAAGAAUAUGUCCUCUAGGUAUGCGUUUCACCUCGAGCCUCAUAUAUGUCAUGGUUUGGCACACUUUAUUCUCUUCCUUGGUGUUAUUCAUUUCCCCUACAUAGCUUUCGAGGGACAACAUCAUACCUAUGCCGUCGCCAGCAUUUAAGUAUCUUACAUUUGAACACAAACGACUCUGCAAAUUGAUCUCUCUCAUCCCUUCCUCUUCCAAUAAUAUCUCAUCUACAUCUAUAUUCCUUAACUCCGCACCAAGGGAAUUGGAAAUUUAGCACUUGGCACCCUGUGAUGCGUCACGCCUUGUUCAGUUCAAAUGCACAUGUUUCCUAGCCAAAUCCAUACAGCCCACAUGACGCUCAACAAUCUUUUAUUUCCUCCAAUCUUUCACUCUAUUUUGACGUUAAAGUGAACAGAACAAAAUACUUAUCAGGAGUACACGUCCUAAAUCAAAUCUGUGAUAAGAACCCUAUUGGUCUCAGCAUGAAUUACCUACCUCCGAAUUAAAGUCACCACGAAAUCUGAGGGGGGGGGGGGGGGGGGGGGGGGGGGGGGGUGGUGGUUUCCCUUUCCGAGAAAGCGAGUUAAGUCAACUAAGCACGGCCGUCUAUCCUCUUCAACAUUGCACAUUUUCUCCUUUGUAUGCUAUGCAAUGUGUAUUAUCCUGAUAAAAAGUUGCUGAGCUUGGUGGAUAUCUAUAAGGUCCUUAAACUAACUGGGUUAGAACCCUCACUUUAGCAACAAUUUGAUGAUCAUGAAUACCCCUAAAGGGUGGCAGCUCAGUAGGUGUUCAAAGACCUCCUGGACUUCCCUGUAAAACAGAUUUCUCUAUGCGCCGUCAUCACAGGAUCCUCUAGCUCCUUAGUGGUCACAUAACAACACACUUGCCUCUGCUGAACAAGGUAGUAGCUGUAGGGCAUGUAACAGAAGAUAUCUUCCACCACUAAUUGAUUGCAAUUAGAAGCAAGAAACCACCUUAUUACACAGCCUGCAACUUCACAUUCAUACCAUCAAUAGAUAUUCACAUUAGCCAUAUGGUGAUAAUCCAUUGUAUGACACCCCAUGCCUUAACCAUUGCAUGCCCAAUAUAACAUCAACAGACUAGACAAUGGUAUAGCAAAUAGCGUCAGUAAGAAAGUCAUACCCUUGAGUUUUAAUAACUGAUGCCUUCCAACGUCCUGCACCAUGUAUAAGCCCGCCAUCAACUACAGUUAUCCGCAAGGGAUGCUCAGUUGUAGAAUAUGUAGCCCCUCCUUACAUAAUUUCUGGCUAUGAAAUUAUGAGUGCUGCAGUGUCUAUGAGUACAUAACUCUGCUUUUUGCCCAGCCAGCAAUCAAUCUCAUCAUAGGAUGAGAAGAGUCUCCCUGAAUGGAUUAAGAGAAACAGUAGGAUCAACACUUUGAAUAGGCUCAUUAGACACUUCCUCAGAAACAGAAUCAACUUCAAUUGAGUCUAAUUGAUUUUCCUCCCCAACCUCCAUAAGGAAAACUUGCAUUUUUUUUUCUCUGGGGACAAUCAUGUCCAGAAUAGAAUUUGUCAUGACAGAAAAAAUACAAGUUUUGAGCCCUAUGUUCAUCCAUUUCUUUAGGGGAAAGUUUCUUCUGAAACGUAUAUGCUGGCUUUCCCAAAAUGCUCUUCUGAGAACCUUCGACAAUCCCUUUCUUCUCCUGAGGCAUCACUUUCUUGUCAAAGGUGUUAGAAACUGUACUCUUCUUCUCACUCCAAGAACUCUGGGUUCGAUUUGCAAGCACCAACCGUUUCUGCAACAAAUCCAAGCUUCGUUCUUGCAACUUUGCAAUACGAGGAGCUUCCAACACCGUACGUGGGGCGAACAUCUUCACACCAUUACACAAUUCCUGUUGAAGGCCUCCCAAAUAGCACUGGAGCUUUUGAGAUUCUGUCAACGCUGUUCUACCCACCAGAUUAUCGAACGAUUCCUGAUAUGCUUCCAGCGAACCAGUUUGCACUAAUUUCUUGAGUUCUUCCAUAGGUGAAUCGAACUCGAGGCUAAAUCGCAUCUUCAAUGCCUCGGUGAAAUUCGGCCAUGUCAAUCGGCCAUUCGAUCCCUGUUCUAGACUUUGGAACCAACGAAAAGAGUUAUCAUCAAGAGCGAUACUCGCAACCGAGACCUUGUCCCCUUCUUGCGUUCCAUCCAACGAAAAAAAAAGUUCGCAUUUCGCGAUCCAAUAUUCCACAUCGUCUCGAGUGAAUUUUGGAAAAUACAGACGCGUUAAUCGCGUUGCUGGUCGAGUUGCACCGUCGCCGGCGCCGCCAUGGCGACGCGCCGCCGUUAACUCCGACAUCUGCAAUCCAAUUCCGUGCAUGGCUUCUUGCACAUUGGUGAAUUGAGUUUCGAAACGAUUCUCCAAUUCACGAAUUUGCCUCGUGAUACAUGGCUCCACUGUCGCCAUGAUGCGUUCCUCCGCCUCACGAAUGGCGUUCUGCAGUCGCGUCGCUUCUGCCAUGAAUGGUGUGGCCGAGGUCGACAGGCUCUAGAUACCAAUGAUAGGGAAAAGAUGGAGAAUGUAGAGAGAGAGAGAAUAGAGAGUAGAGAUAGGAAGGGAGAAUUUCAUUUAUUCAAUAAAAGCAUACAUGGAAUGGUUAGUUUCUAACUAUUUAUAACUGUUAAAAGCAGUUAUAACAACCCAAACUAACUAAAUAUAACUGUCUAAGCAGUUAUAACUAAUAUAUGCAUCAUCUUCUUAUUGUUUUCUUCAACCUUCAACGCAUUCCAGGGUACGCUCCGACCCUGUAGGUUGUUAGCUCCCUCUAUUCCAUCUUCUCUAGCCUUAAGCGGGUUACCACGAUGUAGUUUCAGGUACGGGGAAUCAAAGCCCUAAGGUUUUAGGCUCUGAUUCCUCCCUAACACCAUUUAAUUGUUGUUUUGAUUUUUAGGCAUUUUGAUAAAAUCGUGAGGGAUAAAAAGUAUCUUUAAGAAUUAGAUGAAAUCAUGGUAAGAAGUAGGAAGAGGAGAGUAAGGUAGUUCUGAUGAUGGUGGUUAUGGCCAUUUCUGGGCUGCUCCGGCGCAAGAUAGAUAGAUAGAUAGAGAAAGAGGCAUGAGGUGAGGUUUGGUUCGUAGUGAAAUUUAAAUGAGGGGAUCGAUUCUGAUUCAUUCCUUCUUGCCCUCAAUGUGCGGUCCUCUGAGCAGGCCCAAAGGCCUUACUUCCAAAAACGAAUUUGGGCAUGUAGCUUCUAGAGCCCAAAAACGUUUUUGCCUUGACACCUGAAAUUUCAGAACUGCAACCCCUGGCCCAUUUUAUUUAAUUCAAUUGUUUUUGUUCUUUUUUGUUGAUAUUUUAUUCUCAUUUAAUUUUUCUUGAUUUUAAUUCUUUGAUAUUGGAUGUUUAGUUGUUAUUUUAACUAUAUUUAGAGCUAACAAUGAAAGUACAUGUUCAUGUUAGAAUUAAUUAGACAUUAUAGAAUUUAAUUAGAUGAGUUUUAGAAUUCUAGGAUUAAUUAUAAUUUUAGAUUUUGUUUAGAUAUAAUUAGGGUUUUAGUUCUAAAUAGAUUUUACUUUUGGAAUUAACUUCUUGAUUAAUCAUCCAUCUAAUUUGACCUUUUUACCCUUAGGGUUAUUUUAGUCAUAAAAAUGCAUGAUCCUUUAGGGUUAGAAUUGACUUAGCCUAAUUAGUCAUUUUAAUUAAGUUGUUUUUUAUGUUAUACUUGGUAGUGAUAUUUGAUUAGUGUGACUUUAACCUUUGCAUGAGCCCUUAGGAAUAACUUGUACAUAAUAUUAACCCUUAGAUUAGGUCAACCAGAAUUCUCAAAUUAAUUCAAACCCUCUGAUUUAAGUUGAUCAAAAGCAAUUUUGAUUGACUAAAUCCUUUGAUCAUGUAUAAUCCCACAGUCUAUUCAAGUGAUCAAAAGUCAUUCGAUCUUUGAUCACUUGAUAAGACUACUUCUAAUGUUGUGGAUCUCAAAGCUUCAAGUCCAGACUUUCAUGCAAUACAUCCCAAGCAAAUCAAGCAUCGUAUUAUACAAGAUACAACACAUGUAAACACUUGGAAACCAUUCAAAUUGUAUGCCAUGAUCCUUAAGUAAUGAGGAAUGAUGAGACAGAGUUUCUCCUACCCUUGUUUAGAGUGACUUUACGUACGGGGCGUAGGCCCUAGAUAUUCAAAGCAUUCGUCUUCAUUCAUAGACUUUAAUACAAUGUGAAUCAAAUAAAUUGCCAAGCCUUCUUCACUAAAGCAACAUUAAUCCAAGGAGCAGCAAGGAGGAUUCUUCCCUAACAACUUGUCAGUUAUGAUAGAUAUUACAUACCAUGAGCCUUAAGUAAUGAGGAAUGAUGAGAUAGAGUUUCUCCUACCCUUGUCUAGAGUGACUUUGCAUAUGGGGCAUAGGCCCUAGCUACUCAAAACAUUCGUCUUCAUUCAUAAACUUUAGUGUGGGUCAUAUCAAAUGACUGUCAAGCACUCUUCAUGUUCCAUUAUCAUAUCAUUUCUCUGGCCUUAUCUUGCUGCCAGCCCUAGUGGGCUGAACUACGAAAGCUCUGACUUUCUCAUUGCACAAUGAGAAUACAUAGGCACGAGAAUUCAGAUUCUCCGUGAGCUACCAUAUUUAUUAAUCCUAUCAUUCUUUUUCCAUUCAAUCAAUACCAUCUUUUUUAGAUUAAAUAUCACCUUUCCUUGGACUCCAUAUAUACCCUUUUUAGGAUGAUAUAGCGACAGUCCACCUUGUGAACCCAUAGUUAUUUAUCUUGUAAACAAACACUUUAUUCCUUCUUUUUAGCUAAGACGCAUGUUUGCUCUUUGAUCCAUAGUUUAUUCCUUCAUGGAUCCAAUAUAUUCUUCUUCUUUAAUUUCAAAUUGAUUACUCCCCAGCAAGUGAUAAUAUUCCCUGUACUAAGCAGCAUUGCAAUUAAUCCUUGAAAUUAUUUGUCUUGUGAGUCCCUGUUGCUUAUACAAAUAUCUCUCUCUUUGUUUCCAUUGCAGUUACUGUUCAUCACUGCAAUCAUACCUUUGAAAUUGUUUAUCUUGUGAGUCCCCACUGCUUAGACAAACACUUCUUUGUUAUCUCUCUUUGUUCUCGUGGUUCGACGAACUACGAGUGCUCUGACUUUCUCAUUGCACAGUGAGAGUACGUAGGCACAAGACUUCGAAACUUUGGCAAGCACAAUCCUAAUUAUUUCUUCUGCCUUAGGGCACCAUUCAUAUCUUUCAUGAAUCAUCAUCUACCUUCAAUCAUUGAAUCAGUCACUCCAUGUGAUAUACAAUUAUCUUUGAGCCAAAUACACUAUCUCUUUGAGCUCCAUCUUGUGUCAGUUUGUGAACCAAGAGUUGUUUGUGCUGUGAAACCAAACAUUUAAUUCUCUUUGUUUUCGGCUAUACCAUAUAUAGUGGCAUAUACUUCUGGCUACCCACGUAUUGGUCAACGCUCGUUUUACUAUUGGGUUCAGAUUUCAUCCCUUUUUGGAGUCAAACAACAUAGUCCUUUAGUUCAGACCAUACCUUGUAUCACAACUUCUUUUCACCUUCCACCAUUAGUUCUAUGAACUACGGAGCUCUAAAUUUCUUAUUGCACUAUAAGGAUACGUAGACAUGAGGGACCCAGUCCUCACCGAGCACUUUAUCUAUUCUUUUUCUUUUCCAUUUAUCCUUUCGCGAGUAAUCCUUAGAUAUAACACUCAUUCGAGCAAAAAAAAUCAAAACGGUUCUUGUUGGGUACAACAGAUGUGAGGGGUGCUAAUACCUUCCCCUUGCAUAACCAACUUCCUUACCCAUAUUCUCUUUUCCCAGGUUUUAUCGAUGUUUUCCCUUUCCUUCGGGAAUAAAUAAAGUUCGAUGUUGACUCUGUUGUAUGUUCGAGCGUGCGAUGCGUUCGGGUAUAUUUCCGCUAGCUUCACUAUGUACUUUCAAGGGGUCAUUUUGGAGCAUAUUUGAGUCAUUGGAGAGAAAUUGUUUCAUAGAUUUUGAUGAUGAAUACUUCUCCAUUCAUGGUAUUUGUUAAUAUAUCAAUGAGUAACUAAGUUUCUCUAUAUUAGAUCUUUUUUAGAUGAAUUUUAUUUUUACUCUGUUGGAUCAUAUGUCUGUUUGAGAUUUGUUGAGUACUUUUAAUGUUAUUAUCUUAUUUAAAUUUUUCUUGUGUUUAAUGCUUUUUGUCGCUUACGGGAGUACAAAUUAAUCUAGAUAAUUAGGAAUUUGUGACCGUUAGUCUAAUUAUUUGAACUAAACAAUUUAUUCAACUUUGUAAUUAACUAGAUAUAUGUAAUUAGAAGUUGUUACUUAUGAAUUAAUGUUAUUAGAGCGCCUAAUUUAAAUUUGAAUUGACCUAAGGAAUUAGGUGAUUAUUGUAUAAAUUAAUGAGAUACACAACAAGGAAUUGGGUGUAGUGUUAUGUUAAUUUGCAAUGAGAUAAUAACUUAACUGAAACUCAAUAGAUACACAGUUCAUCAAAAGGUAAAAAAAAGGAGAUUCGAUAUUAAAGACUAAAUCGUUUUUCACGCCUUGAAUUUAAUCUUAUAAUUUCUUGUUUUAGAACCACUUUUCAAACCCCUACCCCCUUUUUAAUUACUUAAUAUCGCACACAAUUUUCUGGUUAAAUUAUAAUUCUCACAGAGACGAUCUUUUUACUAUUACUUCGACGUUAUCAGUAUACUUGUUGGGAGGUCAUCAUGACCCUACAUUUUAUAGAUCUGUUGUUUGGACUCUCCAAUAUGCUACUAUCACUAGGCCUACAAUAAGCUUUGCAGUCAAUAAGGCUUGCCAGUUUCUUUCACAACCUCUUGAUAGUCAUUAAAUAGUUGUUAAGAGAAUACUGAGGUACUUAAAAGGGUCACUUGAUCAUGGUAUUUUUCUUCAGCCAACUUUAACUCAAUCACUUCUACCCAUAAAGGCUUCCUUGAUGCAGACUAGGAACUGACUCAUACGACAUAAGUCUUGUAUUUUGCUAGGUCCUAACCUCAUAUCCUGGUUGUCAAAGAAGCAAACUUUAGUGGUCAGAUCCCACACUGAAGCUGAAUAUAUGAGUUUGUCCAACCACUACUACAUAAAACACUUAUCACAACGGUUGGUAAAGGGAUACCACCAUGUUGGUCCAACCGUUGUGAGGUAAAGUGUGAUUGCAUGUAUGCAUCUUUCUACCAUGGACAUGUGACCGUGAUUUGUAUCUUUGUAGCAUACUAUCUACCACAACGGUUACUUUAAGCAACCGUUGUGAUAUUCUUUAAUGAAUAAUAUUUAACAACGGUUUUGCUAAACAACUGUUGUGAUAUAUACACGUGAGUUUAUUAUAAAUUAUGUGGAAUGCUUAUUUUGCAAUGCUCACUAAAUAUAUAACCUUUCAAUCUGAGCUAGAAUAUUAUAAUAUAAAAAAUUAAGUUAUAUUAGAAGAACAAGUUCACGUUCAAUGCUUGACAAGAGUUCUUCAACCCCUAAUCCGCAUUUACCUCUGUAACAGUUAGAAUUUUGUUUAAUUAUCCUAGUUCUUAAACCACCCUUGCCUUCACCUCUAGUUCAUUUUGAAAAAUAUUAUUUAGUUUAUAAAUAAAAUUAGAGGUGGAAAGAGGGGUGGUUAAAGAUCUAGAACCAUUAAACUAAGUUCUAACUAUCAAAGAACAACAUGCAGAUAACUGAUUGAAGAAUUCUUAUCAAGAAUUGAACAUGUACUUGUUUUCUAAUACAACUUUAUUUAUAAUAUUAUAAUUUUCUAAUACAAUUUAAAAGUUAUAUAUUCGGUAAGGGAUUAGAAAAAUACUCAAAUCACAUAAUAUAUAAUAAACUCAUAUUUUAAACAAACAUUAGCAACAACAUCCAUAAAAAACAUUCAUCAACAACAAACCAUAAACAACAUACACGAUACAACAAAUAUAUCAAGUACUAUAAUGGUUAAAAAAUGUACCACACAUGUCCCAUAAUGGCGUGUCCACAAUAAAAUAAGGAUGAAGCUAAAGUUAGAGCUUCUAACUUGUGUAUAUUUCGAAUGGAUGUCAUUUUGGAUCUUUCACACAAGUUUGCAACGCUAACUUUAGCUACGUCUUCUUUAUUGAAACAAACAUCCUUACGUACAAGUCAAAACAAGCAGAAACUUCAAACAUUAUGAAACAAAUUUUGAAAAAAAUCCAUAGUGAAAACGAACCUGUUAACACUCAUUGGCUAAAAUUUGAUGUUAUGGUUUAGUUUUGGGGUUUCCAUAUGAGUGACAAAGUUGUUAGAGUUUCAUUUUGAGAGAGACGAGUGAAAAAGUUAAUAGGAUUUUGUUUUGAGAGAGACGACAGUUAUGUACUGAAGCGAGAGAUAAUUUCGCUUAUAUAUACAUAAGUAACCCCUUUCACCACAGUUUGAAAACAAAAACAAUGGUGAUAUACAAGGUCAAUCACAUUAUUAUCACGAUAAAUGACAAAUUGUUCGUGCUGGGAUUCAAACCAUUUCACUCCAUGUACAUUUCACUACGAUUGUUACAUAUGACCGUUGUGACAUGUCCUUUAGUAAAUAGAAAAGAAAAAAAACGUCCAAAAAUAAACUAUUUACCACGGUUUACAUAAUGACCGUUGUAAAACUGGUGUUACGAAAAAUAUAUUUUGUAAUAGUGAACUCAUCUUCUAAAGUCCUAUGUAUCCAAUCCCUUCUCAUUGGCUCCAUUUACAAUACAUGUGCUCUUUGGUGACAAUCUAAGCAUAGUUGCUUUGUCUCACAAUUCAAUCCUUCAUGGCACAUGGAACUUGACAUGUUCUUCCUAAGGGAAAAGGUGCUUAGCAAGAUCAAAUAAUUCAACAUGUUCUUCCUAAGGGAAAAGGUGCUUAGCAAGAUCAAAUAAUUCAAGUACAAGAAGGAUUCCCUUUAGGUGCUUAGCAAGAUCAAAUAAUUCAACAUGUUCUUCCUAAGGGAAAAGGUGCUUAGCAAGAUCAAAUAAUUCAACAUGUUCUUCCUAAGGGAAAAGGUGCUUAGCAAGAUCAAAUAAUUCAACAUGUUCCUACCUUUCUUCAGCUUAGAGAUAAGUUCCACAUUCGGUCAAGUUCAUUGUUACUAAGAGAUGACAUUGUCUUUAAGGGAAGAUAUUAGAGUAUAAUUCAUAUAACUAAUUGUGUUAAGUCAAUACAAUUAGAUUUAACUAUAAAUACAACUAAUUCAAAAGUACUAAUCCUUUUGUCCUGAAGCGAAAAUCUUAUUUAAAAUCAAAGCAAUUAAUAUUAAGUAAUUAAUGCAUAUAAAUAAAUUUAUUGGCAUUUAAGGAAAACAAAAACACUUUUACUCAUAAAUAUAAUUGGAGUAAGCUUCAAGCAAUAUAAGCCUAGAGAAGCCUCAUCAUGUAAGUAGCGACGAAACCUCCUUCGCUUCUUAAUCUCAAAUUUUCCUUUUCUAUACUCUUCGAUUUCAAAUGGGAGAAGACGAUGUUGAUAUUAUGACACCUGAUCGAACCUUCCGUACCACUCCUUGUUCCCAAUGCAAUUUCCCAAUUCAACCAGAUUCAUCAAAUACAUGCAUCCAAUGUUUACGAUCAAAAAACGAUAUCACAUUAGGGUUACCCAAGAAACUCCAUCUCCUUCAUUGCCCCCAAUGCAAAACCUACUCCGAACCUCUCAAAUCAUGGAUCAAACUACAAUUACAACCAAAACAGCUUCUUGAUUUUUGUUUAAUAUUACUAGAAAAGAAUUUGAGUUUCAAUAAUCUCAGAUUGGUUCGUUCUCAAACAAUUCUAUAUGAACCAAUUUCAAAGAUUAUCAAAAUUAGGGCUACUGUUCAGAAAGAGGUUCUUAAUGCAGAAACUCUUCAACAAUCUUAUCUUGUUGAGUUUGUUCAACACAACUGCAUCUGUGAAUCUUGUACAAGAGUUCAGCCUGAUCAUGAUGAAUGGAAUUCUGUUGUGCAAUUAAGACAACAUGGAUGUCUUAAACGUAGUUUCUUUCGAUUGGAUCAUGCUAUUUCGAAGCAUCGUGUUGCUGCUUAUGCCGUGAGAAUCAAUAAGAUGAAACACGGUAUUGAUUACUUUUUCUCCCACAGAAUUCAUGUUAACAAGCUUCUUGAUUUUAUCAAGGGACGGGUUCCUGUGAGGAUUUCUGAGAGUAAAGAACUUGUUUCUCAUGAUACAGAUGAUUAUAGAUACACUUUUUCUAUUGAAGUUUGUCCCAUUUGUCGCCAUGAUUUGAUUCUUCUGCCUCCUAAAGUUGCGUCGAGUGUGGGAAAUAUCGGUCCUAUUGUUGUUUGUACUAAGGUUAGUAAUGUUAUUACUUUGCUUGAUCCGUUUACCUCGACGCAGUGUUGCUUAGAUGGUGAUAUGUAUUGGAGGGCACCCUUCAAGUCUUUGCUCACAAAGGAAGAGUUUGUGGAAUAUAUUGUGCUUGAUGUUAAGGAGGUUUUGUCAAAGGUUAAUGUUGAUGGUAAGAAAUUCAAUUUAGCUAACAUUGAGAUUGCUCGAGUGAAUGAGUUGGGAAAGAAUGAUACGAGAUUUAGUAUCAAGACUCAUCUGGGUUAUCUUUUGAAAACGGGUGAUUAUGCUCUUGGUUAUGACUUGUGGGAGGCUAAUUGUAGUGAUAGUGAGAUUGAAUUGAAGGAGCACAUAGAAGAUGGUGUGAUGUUAAUCAAGAAGAGAUAUGGAGUGACAUGCCUGAUGAAGAGACGUGCAGAGCAUCUGUUGCACUUAAAAGAUUUAGAAGAAAUCACUAAUGAGGUGCUUGGCAUAUCACUAGGUGCUGAAGAGCCCCCUUUGGAGAAGAGGAUGGGUGAUCUUAAUCUAAGUGGUGAUGAACAUAAGGAGAAGAAGGCAAGGAGGAUGGCAUGAUCGGGUAAACAAAAGUAAUUUCUAGGUCGAAUGUAAUAUUUCACAUUAUGCUUCUCUAAGUUGGUUUAACUAGUCAUAUUUCUUUUGAUUAACUCUCUUAUUACAAAAGUCUUAUUUUGAUUGUUUCCAACUAGUUCUCUGUUUUUUAAACCUCUGUUCUAUAUGAGCCAAAUCAGCGUUGAUUGUUACCAAGAAAAGUCCCAUUUUGAAUGGUGUUAUGUUAUGUCACUUCAUUGCGAGUAUUUGAUGAGAUACUGACUUGAUAUACAAACUUCUCGUAUUAUGAGUUUGUGCAUGUCUAUUAUAAACAUGCCCAAAUUUAUUUUUUAGAACUUUGAAGUUUGAAAUGCUUAAUUUCCAAGUUAGGUGUUUGUGUUAUGUAUGUGAGAACUUUGAAAAUAUUCAUAUGUUCAUCCAAAGGUUUCUAUGCUUAAUGGCACUAGUUAAUGUAGCCACAAAAAGCCAACCAAUAGAAAAAGUGUUAAAUUGUGAGCCAUCUCCACGAGUUGGAAAUUUUGGUCGCCGGGCACUGUCCAUAAUAGGUAUUCAACAAGUGGUAACGAAUCCAACGAAGCCUUCUUGUAUUCGUACUAGUGAAGCUACUGUUUCUCCUAGUCUUGCUCGCUUAUCUUGGUCUGAUAUGAAUAGUGGAAGGUCUCACUUUUAUUUGAUUUAAUUAUUAACUUUUGCAAUGUUUUUGGUAAAAUUUGUCUCUUUGCAUCAAUUUAUAUCAUGAGUUAUAGCUGCCAUGUUAUUUGCUUUAUGUUUACUAUUGCACGCUGCUCUGGUAGGACACUUGCCUUUAACCUUCAGAGCUCUUCCAUUCACUCCUCAUCGCACAAGUUAUCUAGCUGCUAGCGAGAAUGAAUGCAUCAGGCAUGCAAUGUUUGUGAAUACUAUUGUUACUUUAGUGGAUAGUGUUAUUAAUCUGGAUAAAAAUUCUCUCACUGCAGCCUCUAUCUCAUAUACUCUUGUGUUCUUAUUGCAGGAAAAAUGUUGCAGUUUUCUUCAUCAUUGUUUCUACAAACUCUUUUGGUUCGCUUUUUCCUGUAUUUUCUCCAAUCUCUGAAUAGAAUGUUAAUGUGUUAUUCACCAAGGUUUCAUCAAUACUCUCCUGCAAUUUUCUGAUCAAUCUGGAUACCAAAAAAUACAGGAAAAAGCAGUGAUCAAUAAAGGGUUGUCAAAAAGGAGGGAUUUUGGUUGAGAUGAAACAGUGGUUUGGUGAUUUGACACAUAAUAUUGCUUGCAAAAUGGUGGGAGGGAAGUUAUAUUAAGUAGAUGGCGAAGGUGAAGCUAGGAAGUAUAAGGAAGCAAUGAGAGAUUGGAUGUGUUUGUUUGUCUGAUGCCAUCCCUUUUCUGCAAUAAAUAUUAAGCAUUUUGUGCAUAGAUGAUUCAGCAAGUGGAAAUGGUGCCAGAGAUGGCUAAGCAUUUAUUCUUUUUGGGUUCGUACCCUACUAAAUGCAAAAAAAAAAAAAAAAAAAGUUUUUUUUCUUCUGUAUUUUUUGACACGUGACACCAUUAACUAUUUAAUAAAUUUUAUUUAAUUUAAGACCUAUCCUGGUAACAUAAAUUUUGAUAUGUAUUUUCAGCAAGUGGAAAUGGUGCCAGAGAUGGCUAAGCAUUUAUUCUUUUUGGGUUCGUACCCUACUAAAUGCAAAAAAAAAAAAAAAAAAG
Molecule: long non-coding RNA, 57613 nt
Filed under: Lathyrus oleraceus (garden pea)
Lineage: Eukaryota; Viridiplantae; Streptophyta; Magnoliopsida; Fabales; Fabaceae
Description: Pisum sativum (pea) long non-coding RNA (PSAT_LNC004301)
Source: RNAcentral